UUGAUCCCCUUAGUAAUCAGAAUCUUUUUCAUUUCCACUUUUCUUCCCUCCCACAAUACAGAUAGGCUAAUUAAUUUCAUAAUCUAUUUGAUGUAUAUGAUAAGGCCUUUGGUUGUCUAUUUCUUUUUUAUGGUUAUCAAUUGUCAUUGGCAACAUUUUUUCAUUGUUUGUUCAGUCGAGGGUUAAUAGGAAACAAUCGAUCUACCUUCUUAAGGUACAUUUUUUCAUAGACCUAUAUAAAGAGUAAGGUCUAUGUACAUUUUACCCUUUUCAGACUAUUUGUUGGAGGGUUUUUCCGAAAUUUUUUGAGGCUAGUGACCCACAGUACAAUACAAUAAAAUGAUGAAAUGAAAAAGGGUCCAUGAACCUUUUCUAUCCACAUCUAUUCAAAAACAAAGUAUAUUGAAUCGAUCUUAAUUACAUGCUUCUAUCCCUAGCAAAAUAAUAUUUUUAGGGCCCGUUUGGUCAUGCGAUAUGGUAUCAUGAUAUGAAAUUGAAGUUUUGUUUGGACAUGUGAUAUGAAAUUUUUGUGUUGUAUAUUUUCUUAUAAACAUAAAAAUUCCAUAAGUUGUAAAACUAUUAAAAUAGCCCCAAUUGUUUAUUCAAUCUUAUUAAAUAAACAAAAAUUUAUAAAAUCACAUAAUAAAUUAUUACAAAGUUAUUUGUUCUCCACUUAAGUAAUUGUUUCAUUUAACUUUAAUUUAAUAAAAAUAUUUGAACAUAAAUUGUAGUAUACUAGUCUUUAGUAUAAUCCUCCCACAUAGUACGGACAAUUUCCUCACGUUGAACUUGCAUUUCUCGAUCAUGUGACCAAGAAGAUGAACCAACAUUGUUACUUUGAGCCAUUUGUUGGUCAAUAUCAUCCGCAACUAUAUUUUCAUACUCAUGUCCACGUAGGCACAUAUAUACCUUUAAAAUACACUAUUAAAUAGUACGGGGGGAGGGGGGGUAAAAGGUCAUUUCCAAAGUUUGGUAUCGUAACAGCAAUUUCGACCAAAGUUUGAGUAUUUUUUUAGACCUUUUUCCCUAAAAUAUAAAUGUGCACUUAUUAAGGCCAUCAUAAGUUAUUAGUUGACAAAUUUCAAAUAAAUAUAAGAGUUAGAACCAUAGAUUUGAUUCAAGAGGUUGAUAAUUUGGUAUACCCCACAUUUUACUAUGCUUGUUGUAAUGCUUAAAAAUCUAAGAAGAAUAGAAAAAGAAUUUACAAUUCACUUUGUUCAACACUUUUCGACUAUUGAUUCAUAUUUUUGAUAGAUAUGGAAUCAGUGUAAAACGCAUGUCCAAACGCUGAUUCCAUCUCACGAUACCAUAACGUGAUAUGGUAUCGCAUGGCCAAACGCCUACUUAAAAUACUUGAAUCCAUCUUAAUUACAUGCUUCUAUCCCUAGCAAAAAAUUAUUUCCAAACAAAUUGAGUAAUCAGGGGUGGCUCAACGCAAUCGGGGGCCUAAAGCGAAAUCUUAUUUAGAGACCUAAAAUCUAAAUAAAUUUCACAUGCAUUUAUUUAAAAUUUAUUUCUCUUACAUUUUAAAAUGCAAAGUAUUACUUAAUAUAUAUUUUUCAUAAAUAAUUUAUUCAGUUUCUUUUUCAAUUAUUAGUUUUAGAUAAUAUUUUAUUUUUUUCAAUUCAACGUUGAAAAAUAUAAUAUCAUUUUACUCGGGCAAUCAUUAUAUGAAUUGUUAACAUAGUUUCAUAAGUUAUUAGUUGACAAAUUUCAAAUAAAUAUAAGAGUUAGAACCAUAGAUUUGAUUCAAGAGGUUGAUAAUUUGGUAUACCCCACAUUUUACUAUGCUUGUUGUAAUGCUUAAAAAUCUAAGAAGAAAUGGAAAAAGAAUUUACAAUUCACUUUGUUCAACACUUUUCUACUAUUGAUUGAUAUUUUUGACAGAUUAUUACUCUAACUUAUCAAAAAAUUAAUGAAGAGAGUGUAAAAGGAGUUAAAAAGAAUAAAAUAUGUGAGUAUUAGUGGAGAGAGUGUAAGAAAAUAAAACAAUAUUUUCUUGAUUUCUUCUAUUUGAAUGUGGGUUAAAAAGAAUAAAAUAAUAAUUUUAAAUAUAUACUUUUUAUCAUAAAUAAUUAAUAUUUUUUCUAUAAAAAAUUAACACAUAAUUUAUUCUUAGUAAAAAAUUGAGGCCCCCUAAAAUUAGGGUCCUAAGGCCAAUGUCUUAUUAAAGUAUGCAUAGAGCUACUGUGAGUAAUAGAGGAAAAAUAUUUGGGCAUGGUAGACUUGUAAACUCAUGCAGACCCAUGUCCAGCCAUGCAUCAAAAUCUUGUUGCCACGGUCCGAGUAAGGUAAGAGCUAUCCAAAUGCAAAUACCUUCAAAUAAUAAAUAAACAAAAGUAAUUAAUAAUUAUCCUUUUCAACUAAAAUAUUUAUAUACAUUAGAAUAAAUCCAUGGUAUGAGAUGAGUAUCAUAAUAUAAAAAUGCUAUGAGCAAUCAAUAUCAAUACCAGUGAGGUCUGAAUUUUCUUCCACACAAUAAAAGUGGUUUCAGUAAUGAUCAAUCGCUUGCUUUUAUCUUGAAUGUAUACCAUUAUCUAAACAUAAUAAGUUUUUUUUUCAGCCGCUUAAUUUUUACCUCUAAAUUCGACGCUAAUUAUCAACUCCAUUUCCAUAUUAUUGAUAGCCUUAAAAACACUAAUUUACACGAUUAAUUAAAUCUAAAUAAAUUGGCAUUUUUAAGAUUGUCAAUAAUUUAGAAAUGAAAUUGAUAAUUUGCAUCAAAUUUAAAGGUAUUUUUCAUACUUUUUCUCAUUAUUAAAUUAUAUUUUUUUCCAUACUUCUUCUCAUUAUUAAAUUUUAUUUUCCAUCUUUUCAACUAUUCAUUUUUUAGCUUAGUUGUCGACACUUCAAGUGUUGAAAGCACUUGUUUUUGUUUCCAUCACCUAUGGAUCUUUGUCUAUGGGACCUGAUCCUUUAAUUCUCUCUUUUUUGUGUUGUCAACAUAUUAAUGGACGACACAUUUAUACUUAUCAUCAAUGAUGAGAUAAGGCCAAUACCUAUUAUCUUUUAUAAAUUUUAUUUGUGAGAUUAAAAUUGAUACAUUAUUGUUGUCAAAAAAUAGAUUAUUAAAGAUUACAAUGAAAUGAUAGAUAAUAUGUUCAAUUUUUAUUAAAAGUUUUAGUUAGAGACUAAAGUUAUUUUAAGUUGGAGUAAUUUACCCUUCAAAUUAAAUUUUGUGGUAUGAAUCUAAAUUAGUGAAGGUAAGAAUUUAGUCGUAUUCGAUAUUUAGAUCAAGUUUAUAAUGCAUGACGUUUGUUUGUACAUACACUUCUAGUAUUUAUAUAUGGUGGAUUUACAUAGUUUGAUAUAAACAUCCUCGAUACAAAUAAAUAAUUACUUCAAGCCACAAAAUAACUGGCGGAUACCUGAUAAAAUACAGAGCAAAUCCUUCACACAUUCGAUAUAAUCAAAAUGGUACAAAAAGGAUUAGCAUGCCUCAACGCGAAACUAGAGAGUUGUUUAUUGAUGCACGUGAAUUCAAUUAUUAUUAUAAAAUGAAUUUGAAGUUAAUAUAAGUAUAUAUCCAUAAAUUUAAAACCUUUAAUCUUGGCAAAAUUGCUUUUAUAAAAAAAAAUGACACAUACAAAUAAACGAAAAAUAACAAUAUGUUACUGUUCAUAAUAAAGGAAAGUAGUUAUCUGAAAAUACAUCAAGCAACAAUUAUACUUUUUUAUAACACUCUCAACAUAUAGUAGUUAAAUCCAAAUGGAAUUUUGAUACAUUUGACUUCAAAUGCAUCAUGCAUGAAUAUCCUUGAAUUUAUUCAAUACCCCAGGUUGCUCGGAUUCUUUAGAAAUGUAUUUGUGCGAUAAUAUUUUUGAAGAGUCUGAACAACAUCGCCAGAACUAGUUAUCUUGUUAUAUGAGAUAUGAAUGAAUCCAAUUCUAUACGUUUAAUUCCACCCUCUGCCACUGAUUUUCUAAUUUCUACACUCAAAUAUUUUGCUUUGUUCCUCAUUUCAUCUCCUCCUUUUGAUGCCAUUAAUUUUUCCACACAUUUUUUCACCACAUUUGAUUUUACCAAUUCAUUCCUAUUAGCCCAUUCUCUAACAACAAUUCCAAUUUUAAGAAUCUUGGUAAUUAGUACAGCGUUUCUUGGUUGAUCAGAAUGCAUUGGCCAUGCAGCUAUUGGCACGCCCAUCGAGACACUUUCCAUGCAGGAAUUCCAUCCACAAUGACUCAAGAAUCCACCAGUCGAACAAUGUGACAAAAUCUCCAAUUGAGGUGCCCAAUCUCUUACCAAAAUCCCCUUUUCUUUAACUCUCUCCUCGAACCCUUUUGGCAACUCAAUCUUUCUUGAUGAGUCUUUAGUAAAAACAUUCCCUUUAUCCGCGUCUCUCAACACCCAAAUGAACUUUUGUUCGCUCUGCUCUAGUCCAAUUGCGAUUUCCUUGAUUUGUUCGUCAGAAAAUGAAGUCGUGGUACCAAAUGACACUAAUAUCACCGAGUUUGGUUCUUGUUUGUCGAGCCAUAACAAACACGUGUGGCUUUUGGUGUUGGGCCCGUUCUUGGGAAAUGUAACCGGGUUAAACGGGCCGAGGGCCCAUUGUUUUUCGUUGUUGUUGGUCACUUCUUUCAACAACAAAUCAAGAAAAGGACUUUCCAUGACUCUACAUGUGUUGUAAAUCUUUCCCGAGUUAAACUUCAUGCAUUCAUAUUCUCUUUUCAUAAGUUUCUCAAAUUCUGGACUAAAACAACCUUCGAGAGAAGGAAGAUCAAUCAACAUUUCAGAGUCUAUAAGAAACGGCCUCUUUUUUCGCUCCCAUAUAAAUAGGAGCAGAGUAAAAGCUGACACACUAUGGAAAGUGUAUGCCUCAGCAUUUGGUACUGACACAAAAUCUUGAACAACUGAUCCCAUCAGAGAGUCGUUUAUGAUAACGACUCUCUGAUACUUGGAUGAAAGCGUUUGGAUUAACCUUUUCACAGGGUUCCUUAGAUAAGACGAUGAUUCAAAUGAAGAUUGAAGAUGAGAUGGAAAUUUAAUUCGCGAAUUUGGAUUUGGAUUUGGAGAGAUGAAACUUGGAGUAGGAAAUUCAUGGAAAUGAAUUUUGGAAAAAGAGUCAAAACUAUUAAUAACUCUAAGUUUUGCUUGAAGAUUAUGUGUUUUUGUACUAACAUAAUGGACUUUUAUGUUGUUAUAAGAUGCUAUAAGGCAAGAGAGUUGUAGAAGUUGAUUAAGAUGACCUUGUGCUAGAAAAGGGACUAUUACUACAACAAUUUUUUGACUUUUUUGGUUAUUUUUGCAAAUAUGAAGAUUGGAAGCCAUUGAAGAAAUAAAUUCCCAAUGAAUAUUUUUAACUUUGUAUGAGAAAAUAUGAACUUGUUUUUUAUUUCUUGGCUAAAAUUUUUGGUACAAACUUUCUCUUAACUCUACCCCCUAUUUAUUUAAUUUGGAGACGGUGAGAAAAUGUGUGGAGAGGGUGAGGACAUGUGAAUAACUGAUCAUGUGAUAUGUACAGAGAUAUAAUUUGCUUAUAUUGAGUCACACGGCAAUAAAAGUAGGUACGUGAAGUUAGAGUUUUAAUUACGAGUUUAAUAAAAUGACGAAAAUUUAAUAUUUAUAUUAAAAACUCUUUUUUUGUUCGUUUUUUUGUAUUAAAAAGAAUUAAUGACAAAAAAAACAUCAUAAACUAUCGUAUUUGUAAGUUCCAUACUCAAUUAUCAGUCGAUUUCUUUUUCUACCUCAACUAUUAUAAUCAAAACAUCGAAGUUGAUUAGGCCAACUAUUUUCUUUUUCUAUUUGAACUAUCGUCAUCUACUUAACUAAUUAGGUGUGUUUUUAAUACAUAGAUGACAGUAGUUCAAGUUGAAAAAAAGGGUAGAUAAUAAUAGUUCAAAAAUUCUAAUGGAAAAAAAAAAAAAAACUAAUAAUUAAAAUCGCAAAAAGUAAUAGCUCAAAUAUAUUUUUAAUUAUUAAUUCAAUUAAAAAACAUAAAUUCUAAAUUCUAAAUCUAUUUGUUUCUAGUAGACAUAAAGUUUUUAUUGUAGGACAUAGGUAGACAUAAAGUUCUUAUAAGACCUAAUUUACACAAAUUUUCACUUACACACAUUCACUAGGAUUUGUUUAUUUUAGACACCUCAUAUCAUGCUCCGUUAUGUCUUUUUGACAUUUUUUUGACAAUCAGCCAAAUGUGUAAGGUGUGUGUAACACACUCGCGAGGACAUGUCAAAGUGACAAAUUAAAUAAAGACAAGUGGAUAUAUGUCAAAAAUAAUUUUUAAAUAAUGAAAUUUGUAUAGAAAAAAUGGUCAAUCACUCAAUGACACGUGUCAUUUUUAAACCUUUUUUUUUUAUUUUUAAACACAGCCUAUAAUAAUUAUCUUCUCCAGCAACUCCACCCCCAGACCCCUUUCCCACUACCCAAUCCCUAAACCCCUCCCCCAUCCAAAUCGUUUUCUCAGUGAAAUUUUUUCUUUCAACUAUAUGUUAGUUCUUCACUUAAGACGCAAGACUUUCUUAAUUGUUUUUCUCCAUUGGUUCUAUGUUUUUUCAUAAAUCAAAUUAAUUGUAACUUGAUCUACUAAAAUAUUGGUUGUUUUUGUUUUAACUAAUUAGCACCAUCAAAUCUACUUCUCCAUGGAAGUGGUUUAAGUUUUGGCAGAUGGUGGUUAAAAAAUGGGGAAGAAGAUGAAAAAAAUAAAAUAAAAAUGAAUUUAAUAAGUUUUUUACGCGCUGGUAGCAAGUGUAGCUCACUCAUUAUGUCAUGUCAGCAAAAAGUGUCAAACUUACAUAGCGGAACAUGACAUGAGGUGUCUAGAAUGAACAAAGCCUAAUUAAGGUGUUUAAGUGAAAAUUUAUGUCAAUUUUAAGUGGUCACCGAUGGAUUAGGCCUUGUUAUAAUUAUAGGACAUUGUUGAUUAGUAGUUUUCAUAUAAUAAAUGUACUUGCAUAAAGAAGAGAGUUUGGUGUAAUAUCUGACUGGUGACAGCAGUGCUACAAAACUUCAAAGGAAAAUAUAUAAAUGAAACUGAUAGAUAUAAAAGGUCAUAAUUAGAAUAUAUUUUUAUGUCUAGUUAAAUUAUUAGUGGUAUGCAAAUUCCAAUUAUAUAUACAAAUAAUCAGGGCGGACCUAUGAAGGGCAGUGGGGGUGCCACGCCACCCCCAAACUUCGACGGAAACUCUAUAUAUACAUAGGUAUAUAUACAUAAGAUUUAUAUAAAUAUAAAGUGUGUCACCCACAGAACAAAAUAGGCUUGUGGUGCCAUGGUAGGAGGGCAACUUUAGAAGGUUGAGGUUGCGGGUUCGAAUCCCAUUUGAACCUAUUUUUUGAAAAAUUGUUGAAGACGUUUUUUAAGUGAAAAAAAGGCUCCAAGCCCCCUUUUUUUUAAGGAAAACAGCUGGCACAUUAUUUUAUUUUAUUUUAUAAUUGUUAUUGACUUAAAUUAAAUUAAUUACAUUACUCCUUUGACUUAGAAGUGUUCUCUUUCUCUUCAACUAUUUCCAAACCCUUCUUCCUCCAAGUUUCAACUUCUCCAAAAAAUUUAUUACCCCAUUCCGAACCCAAAUCACUUCUUGUCGUUGCCGCCCCCCGCCCGUCUUAGCAUUCCGUUCAGUGGCUAAGCCUCAUUUGGGUGCGUUUGUUUUCACUUUUCUCCAUCCAUCCACAACUUUUUAUAGAUUGUAAGUUUGCAAUUCUAUUUUUGUAAGAUUUUUUUUUAUUUCUAUUUCUUGAGUUCUUUUAAGUUUUAAUUAGUGAUGAUUGAUUUCAUAUGGUGUGCUGGAUCAUUGGCGGAUCCGCCACUGCUUACAAUUACUAUGGUGUGCUGGAUCAGUAUUUAUAAAUGAUUAAAUGAUUGUCUAGUGUGUUACAUAGAGCGUGAUGUAUUUAUAAAUGUUAGUAAUGAUGUCAUUAUCGAUCGUUUUCAGAAUAUGAAAACUCGUCGAGGACAAUUGUAAAUGAAUGUUGAAUAUUUAUAAUAUUAGUAAAUAGUAAUAUUAUUGAAAGUUUUAAAUUUGUUAACUUCAUGCUUUUAGUGUGGAGUGUGGAUUUGUAAUAUCUUAUUAUUUAUAUUUUAUUGAUUGAUUUAUGAUAUAUAUCGAAAAGGCGAAUAAUUUAAUCAAAUAUAAAAUUAAUUUAAUCGAUAAGUUUAUUUGGCACCCCCGGACUCUAAAUCCUGGAUCCGCCACUGAUCGAAAAGGCGAAUAAUUUAAUCAAAUAUAAAAUUAAUUUAAUCGAUAAGUUUAUUUGGCACCCCGGACUCUAAAUCCUAGAUCCGCCACUGCAAAUAAUAAUUCACAGUGUUUCAUGUUAGUAGUAAGGACAAAGAGAAAAUAGAUUAUUUACUUGGAGAUAUCAAUAAAAAAUUGGUGAACUUUGAUAAAGUUGUGGGUGGAGGGAAAUUAAACAAUCCCCCUUCCUAAAUUUUGUUAGCUAGGGUGGUAAUAAAGUUUUGUAUAAGCAAGGGUUGGUGGAAUUAAAGUACGUGGUUGGUGUAGCUAGCUUGUAGGUUUGUAGCUGUCGAAGUGUAGCAUUAAGGUGGUUCGGUUGAUAAAGUUUUAUAUAAAUACCGACUAAUAGAGUGAACAUACGUAGAUAGUGAAUGUAGUUAGUUUGUAGUUGUUAAAGGGUAGCAUUAAGAUGAUUUAAGUAAAAAGAUCUUGAUUAAGCUUGAAUUAUUAUAUUGAAUAUAAAAAGUUGACAUAGCAGGUGGUUCAGUUGGUAAAGUGAUCUUGUAUUAUAAGCUCUGGCUAUUAAUAGAGUGAACGUAGGUAGGGGAUGUUACUAGUUCGUAGUUGUUAAAGUGUAGCAUUAAGAUGAUUCAAGUAUAAUAAAGUGAACAUAGGUAGGGGAUAUUACUAGUUUGUUAAAGUGUAGCAUUAAGAUGAUUCAAGCAAUAAAAUCUUAAUUAAGCACAAAUUAUUACAUUAAAUGUAGGUAGUUGAUGAAGCUAGCUUGUAGCUAUCGAAGUGUAGCAUUAAAGCAGUUUGUUGGUAAAGCCUUGUAUAAGCUCCGACAAAUAGAAUGAAUAUAGGUAGUGGAUAUAACUACUUUAUAGCUGUUAAUUAAGAAGGUUCAAGUGAUAAAAUUUUACUUAAACUCGAAUUACUAUAGUGAAUGUAGUUAGUUUGUAGCUAUCAAAGUGUAUCAUUAAGGUAGUUCAGUUGGUAAACGCCUUGCAUAAGCUUCAACUAAUAAAAUAUAUAUAUAGGUAGUGGAUGUAACUAUCUUGUAGAUGUUGAAGUAUAGCAUUAAGAUAAUUCAAGUAAUAAAACAUUGUGUUAAGCUCAAAUUACUAUAGUGAACAUAUAUAGAUAGUUGAUGUAGCUAGCUUGUAGCGGUUAUAAUGUAGCAUUGAUGUGACUUGGAUAGUAAAAUCUUAGAUAAGCAAGGGUUAAUAAAGUAGAUGUACGUACAUAGUUGAUCGAUAUAACUAAUUUGUAGUUGUUAAAAGUAUAAUAUUCUGAUGAUUAGGAUGUUAAGCCCUUGAAUAAACUCAAAUUAUUAUAUUUUAAUUGUACACGAGGCCAAGAGUAUAUUUGAAUUAUGUAAUUUCUUGAUACAUUAAUACAAAGGGAUUUUUUGGGUUCGUGCCCUGGAUAUGAAGAAAGUCCUAUUGGGAGCGUCACCCCUAAAUGGGCCCUGCGAUGUGCAAUUCAAAUUUAAUCGAAGCUUCAAUAUUAACUCCGAAUACCGAUCGGAAAACAAAAAAAAUAUACAAAGGGAUUAGUUUGGAUUGAAAAAUCAAAUUUGAUGUGACAGAUAUUAUUUGCUUAUAUAUUGCAAUAGGAUGAGUCACAUGUCACUAAUGUAAGUAGGCUAAAAGUUCUCAAUGUAUAGGACAAGGUUGGUUAGUUAUUGGAGUAGUAUAUUAUUAAUGUGCUUGCUUAAAGAAUAUUUUUUCUCCGUCUUAAAUUAUCUAUCGUGAUUUUCAAAAAUUAUCUUAAAUUAUAAAUCAUUUGAGAAGUGUAAUUAAGACAAAAUUAUCUCAUUUUAUCCUAAAUAGUUAUUAUUUUGAAGACUACAAAUAUCUCAAUUAUGCGAUGUUAUGAUUAUUCAAAUAUCAGUAUAAGAUAAAAUAACUAAAACCUCCUCCUAUUUAAUUAAAAAUGCGUAUAAAGAGAACCAUGACAAAUAAUUUGAGACGGAGACAGUAUAUGCCCUGGAACGUCAGUGCUACAAAUUUCAAGGAAAUUAUCAAUGAAAUUGACAGAUAUAAGGGAACAUGAGGAAAUAUUUUCAUAUCUAGUAAAAAAAAUAGAAAACGUCAAAUUGUACGUUACAACUUACAACUAUUUUAUAACUGUUAAAGUGUAGCAUUGAGACGAUUGAUCGCUAAUUAGUAAGGCCUUGGAUAAAUUCGAGUUAAUAGAGUGAAUAUAGCUAAUUUGUAACUAUUUAAGUAUGACAUAAAGGUAAUUCGAGUGAUAAAGCCUUGUAUGCACACAUUUAAUUCUAUUAUUGAAAUUUAAACUCGUGAAUAAUAGGACAACGUAGUAAGCAUACAUUUAAUUUUAUUAUUGAAAUUUUAACUCGUGAUACUAUAGUUUGAAUUAUAAUUGAUUUAAUCGGGAACUCAAAGCAAUGGUCCCGAUUAAAUCGAACGAUUUUUUUCAGUAUAUUAUCUGACAUCAAGCCAUGAUUAAAAUUGUACUGCAUAAUGUGUGGGAAAUUAUUAUCUGUUGGUAGCAUGUGUGUCAAUCAAUUCAAAUCCAAUUGUACAUAUAUCUAAUAUAGUUUUGUCUGUCAAUAAACUUUAUAUGACUCAUAAAGAAGAAUUCCUAGCCAGCCACACGUAAGUAUUUAACUUAUAGGGUGAAGUUUUAAAAUUUAAAUAAUAAUAUAAAAUUUGAAGUACAAAUCACAUGUUGAAACUUGAAAGAACAAGAAAAAUAGGAACCUCACUUAAAGAUGAGGUGUGCUGGAGGGUGGGAAUAAGGACUACGAGGGUGAGUGGCGCAGAUGAGGUGUGCUAGAGGGUGGAGAUGGAGACUACGAGGGCGGGGUGAAGAUGAGGUGUGCUGGAGGAUGGGAUAGGUACUACGAGAGUGGGGUAAAGAUGAGGUGUGUUGAAAAAUGGGAAAGGAGGUUACGAGGGCGGGGUAAAGAUAGGGUGUGUUGAAGAAUGGGGAAGGAGGUUACGAGGGCGAGGUGAAGAGCAGGUGUGCUGGAAGAUGGGAUAGGAACUACGAGGGCGGGGUAAAGAUGAGGUGUGUUGAAGGAUGGGGAAGGAGGUUACGAGGGCGGGGUAAAGAAUAGGUGUGCUGGAAGAUGGGAUAGGGACUACGAGGGCGGAGUAAAGAUGAGGUGUGUUGAAGGGUGGGGAAGGAGGUUACGAGGGCGGGGUAAAGAAUAGGUGUGCUGGAAGAUGGGAUAGGGACUACGAGGGCGGAGUAAAGAUGAGGUGUGUUGAAGGGUGGGGAAGGAGGUUACGAGGGCGGGGUGAAGAGCAGGUGUGCUGGAAGGUGGAGACACAAUUAAUAUUAAAUGUCACUAGCGAAAUUUAUUUUUUCUAUAUUAGAAAAGUUAUUUUUUCUCAUUUUUACAAAAAAAAAAAAGAAUUCUAGAGAAAGUAUUUUCUAAAAAAUUUAACCUACCGAGAAAAUCGAAAAAAUGAUCUUCCCCUACCCAUUGAACACAUCCUAAGAGAUAAAUUCUCGUUCAUUUAUUGGUGUUUACAAUUUGGUGAAAAUUCAAUCUAAAUAAAACAUCAAAUCAAAUCAAUUAUCAAUUAAAUAUAUAUAUAUAGAUUAAUAUUAAUUUAUUUUUAAUAUUUUUAUAUAUAUAAAGUAUUAAUAUGAUAUAAUUGAGACAUAUUUUUUGAAAAGCCAAAAUCAUAUUUUUUUAUAAUAUGAAUAUAUGUAAGUUAUAGCUCAUCAAUCUAUGAUAACCAAUUUACCAUACAGCAUAAUCCCGAAUCAUACCAAAUUAUUUAAUAUAAUAAUAUAAUAUUUUUAAAAGCCAUAAACCAAAAUUGUCGAAUCAAACUUUUCAAUACCAUAUCCAACUCACCCAUAAUUAGCACACAAGCCUAAUAGAAGGUAAAGAGGCUCUAUCACUCUCUUAUUUCUUUUCAAAAUAUAUGGAAUUUUCUAUGACUAUAUUAAAGCUAACACUACACCAUUUUAGGCUUUUAGCCACACCAAUAAAGUGUAGCCUAAACUAGCAAAAAGUGUGGCCUUUGAUAAAAGGCUACACUUUUGAACUUUAAGCAACGGUUCAAAUUCAAAAUAUAUGGAAUUUUCUAUGACUAUAUUAAAUCAUUUAAACUUUCUUUAUGCUAAGCUAAGUAAUCUAUAAUGAGCUAAUUUACAUAUUAAUAGUUUAAUUAAAGUUUAAAAAGCAAAGUUAAUGGAUGUGUGAUACAUCUUUGAGACGUAAGGAACACUAUUAAUUAAUACUUCCUCUUCUCAAUUUAUGUAAUAUAUUUCGUUUUCUAAGAAUCAAACAGAUUAAGCUUGAUUGGAAAUUUACACAUGAAAUCUUUAGUUUUUUUUGAAAUUAAGUUUAUAUAUUUAUAAACUAAGUAAAAAGUACUAUUAGUCACAAUAAUUGACAAUCCAAUAUAUUUAAAAAAUAUAUAAAAAAAUUAAAAAAAAAUAUAUAGUUUUUUGAAUCUCGAAAUUCAAAUUGUGUAGGACAUAAAUAUUAAUAUAAUACACGUGUGACCAAAUGUCUAUAUCUCCAGACUCCAAUCCAUCCCAUCUAUUUGCCUUAAUUGAUAAUUUUUUAAAAACUUGUUUUAACCUUUUUUUCCUUUUCUAUAUUAGUAUUGGAAUCGAAUUAAUUAAUUUAAAUUCAAAUUAUAAGAUUUCAUUUAUAUAUAUAUGUAUAAAAAACUUUAUACAGAUUCAAACUUAAAAUCUUUUAUUAAAAAUGAAUGUGUAAAACAACAUAUUCUUCUUUACGAUGACUAAAAAUAACAUUUGAUAUGUUACUCCUAAUUGCACGUAAUUUUUAUUUGGGCUCCGGUUGUCGAACGGGAAACAAAAAAAAACAAAGGGAUUAGUUUGGAUUGAAAAAAACAAACUGAUGUGACAGAUAUUAUUUGUUUAUAUUGCAAUAGGAUGAGUCACAUGUCACUAAUGUAAGUAGGCUAAAAGUUCGUUGGUUAGUUAUUGGAGUAGUAUACUAUUAUUAAUGUGCUUGCUUAAAGAAUUUUUUUCCUUUAUCGUGAUUUUUAAAAAUAAUUAUCUUAAAUUAUUUAUCGUUUGAGAAGUGCAAGACAAAAUUAUCUCAUUUUAUUCUUAACAGUUAUUAUUUUGAAGACUACAAACAUCUCAAGUAUGCGUUGUUAUGAUUGUUCAAAUAUCAGUAAAAGAUAAAAUAACUAAAACCUCCUCCUAUUUAAUUAAAGAUGCGUAUAAAGAGAAUCAUGACAAAUAAUUUGAGACGGAGAUAGUAUAUGUCCUGUGACAUCAGUGCUACAAAUUUCAAGGAAAUUAUCAAUGAAAUUGACAUAUAAGGGAACGUGAGGAAAUAUUUUCAUAUCUAGUAAAAAAAAAAUAGAAAACGUCAAAUUGUACGUUACAACUUACAACUAUUUUAUAACUGUUAAAGUGUAGCAUUGAGACGAUUGAUCGCUAAUUAGUAAGGCCUUGGAUAAAUUCGAGUUAAUAGAGUGAAUAUAGCUAAUUUGUAACUAUUGAAGUAUGACAUAAAGGUAAUUCGAGUGAUAAAGCCUUGUAUUUACACAUUUAAUUUUAUUAUUGAAAUUUAAACUCGUGAUACUAUAAUUUGAAUUAUAAUUGUUAUUGUUAGUGUGACAUUUUAAUAUUCUAAAAUAUAUUAAAUUUUGCAAUAUUCUGCAUGGUCACACAGACAUUGGUUUUCUGGCCAUUGGUUGACUUCUCACAUUUCAUAUGUUACAAAAUGUUGGAUGCAUGUAAUGACAAUCAUAAUUGCUGCAUUACUAUCUUAUAUUACUCCAAAUUGGAGUUAGUGCCAUACGCACAUCAGUUUUCAAAAUGCCGUUGAUGGUAUUAGCCGUUGAUGGCAUUGGUGGGCACUUGAUUGUCACUCUUAAUUCCUCCAUUAUCCUUGUAACCUAUGUAACUCCUAAGGCCAUUUAUCUUCACUAUUUACUACACCAUUUAUCUUCUUAUUCAUUGAUAGGAAGACUUCUUCUAGUAUAAAUAGUGGUAGUCUUCAUUUGAUUUGGUACACACAAUACACAAGAAAAUAUAGAGUGCAUAAAGUUUGUCAAAAGAGAGUUUUAUUAGUUGAAGGAGGUGUUCUUUUGUGGAGCUUUGGACUCAACUCUUGUCCAGAGUUGUUGAGUUAUAUUUUGUGAUUAGGCUGUUGUAUCCUGGAGGGGACAAGUCAAGAAGGACUACUGCUGGACCGGUGAAAACAUUUGCUGCAGUGGGCUUGAAUCUCCUUAAAGAGAGCGAGAUAUCCGCGCCUCAGCCUGAAGAGAUUUGUUUUCUUCAUUUUAUUUUCAAUUGUAAUCUUGUAUUUUUGUUAUCUUGUAAGUUUUCACUAACAGUUAUUAAUCGGGAACUCGUAACAGUGGUCCCGAUAUUUAUCAGUAUAUUAUCUGACAUCAAGCCAUGAUAAAAAUUGCACUGCAUAAUGUGUGGGAAAUUAAAUUAUUAUCUGUUGGUACAUGGUAGCAUGUGUAUCAAUCAAUUCAUAAAUCCAAUUGUACAUAUAUCUAAUAAUUUUGUCUGUCAAUAAACUUUACAUGACUCAUAGAUGAGGAAUCCUUAGCCAGCCACACGUAAGUAUAUUUAAUUUUAGGUUGAAACUUCAAAGAAGAAGAAAAAAUAGGAAACACGGUUGAAGAUGAGGUGUGCUGAAGGGGCUAGGAUGGAGGCUAUGAGGGAGGAGUAAAGAGAGUCUGGAAUCAAAAGAGCAAAAAAAAUUGUCAAAAAAUCCAAAAUGGCACAUCAAUUUUAUUUUUUUACCAAAAGGACAAAAUCGCUCCUGGCGGAGCGAUUUCAGAUUGACGCCGUACUCCGUUAAAAACAUAAAAAUCGCUACCCCAACAACAAUUUCGUCCAAAUUUUUUUCUUAACGGCAGCGAUUUCAUCAAAAAAAAAUUUAACAACGCUGCCCCUGCAGCGUUUUUCUCAAAAAUAAAAUAAAAUUUGCUGCUAUAGCAGCGUUUUAAUUAAAAAAAAAAAUUGAAAUAGCUGCUAUAGCAGCAAUUUUCUUAAAAAGUUUAAAAAAAAAUUCUAUUAAGAAAUCGCUUGCCAGGCUGCGAUUUACUUUAUUUUAUUUUAAAUCACUGCUUUCUUCAAGGCAGCAAUAUAUUUAAAAUGCAAUUUUUUAAAAAUGAAAUCACUGCCUUGCAAGCGAUUUUAAAUUUUUUAAAAAAGUUUUUUUAAGAAAAUCGCUGCUAUAGUAGCGAUUUCAAAUUAAAUUAUUCUUUUUUUGAGAAAACGCUGCAGGGCAGUAAUGUUAAAAAAAAUAAUUUAACAGAGUAACGGCGUCAAUUUUGUCAGAAGGAAAUCGCUCUGUCAGGAGCGAUUUUGCCCUUUUGGUUAAAAAAAUAAUUGAUGUGCCCUUUUGGAAUUUUUGACAAUUUUUUUUGCCAUUUUGGCUCCGGACUCAAGUAAAGAUGAGGCAUGCUAGAGAGUAGAUGAGGAUUACGAGGGCGGAGUAAACAAUUUUUAAUAAUUUAAGGAAUCUUUUACCAUGCAUCAUAAAUUAUAAGUAAGGUUAUAAAAAUGUUUUUAUGGACUCACCUUGAGAUAGGGCACUUGUAAAACGCCUAGAAAUUCAAUUGUGCGCCUUAAACACAUCUAACACUUAAACUUUGGGCCUUCCCCAAUAAUCUUAAACAAUCAUAUGUAAAUUCCAUCUUAACAUUGUUGAUCCAAUUUUUUUGUAAACAAAAAUAAUAUUUUUUUUAUUUAUCUAAGAAAUACAAAAGAUAUUCACACUCACUCUGUUGGAUUUAUUUCCUUUUUUUGAGUGACACAUACCUUACUUUUGGCUUUAAGAACCAAACUUUUUCUUCUAUACACUAAAUUAAAUUAAUUCCAUGAAUCUGCUAAUAUUCUGUCACUAUUCCUGUCUAAUCACCAUCUUAAUCUGAAGUUUGGUUAGAUAUGAAUAAUAAAUGCAACAGAAGGUUAGUUAAUAUUAACUUCUUUGAGAUCGGUUUUAGGGAAGUUUUGAUGGUGAAAGUUCGCACAAGGGCAAGUAUGAUAUGGUAGAUAUUGAAUAUCAUAUUGAAAUCAAAAAUUUUAAUAUUGCGGUUUGGAUAUUAUAAUAUUUAGUAUGUAUUAAAAAUUGAUAUUCGAUAUGAUAUUUGAUAUUUAUAAAAAAUAAUAUUGAAUAUUAUAUUGAAGUAUAUAGUUACAUAUAAAAUUCAUAUAUAUGUAAUUAUAUACAAUACUUGCAAAUAUAUACAACAGUUUUUUAGAUGUUGAAAUUUUGAUUGUUUUAUCUUAAUUUAAAUAUUCUUUUUGAGUGACUGAUAAAAAAAAAAGUGUUGUUUAUACUUUAUUUUGAAUAUUUUUAUAUGUAUAAGGUAUUGAUAUGACAUAAUUGAGUUUUGAGACGUGUCUUGAAAAGCCAAAGUCAUAAUUCUUUAUUAUACGGAUUUAUGUAAGUUGAAGUUGAUCAAUCUAGGCAUAAAACAUAAACAUGACCCUUAACUUGGCUUCAACGGACAACUAUGCCCUCCAACUUUGAGUAUGCACAAGUAGGCACUUAAACAUGUAUAAAAUUAAAUAAAUAGACACACGUGUCCUACAUGGCAUACGCCACGUAGGAUACAAAUUUUUCAUGUAGGGUGCCAUGUAGGACGGAUGUGUCUAUUUGUUCAAUUUUAUACAAGUUUAAGUGCCUACUUGUGCACAUUCAAAGUUAAAGAACAUAAUUGUCGGUUGAUGCCAAGUUAAGGAUUAUGUUUAUGUAUUAUGCCAUCAAUCUAUGAUAACCAAUUUACCGUACUGCAUAAUAUCGAACCAUACCAAAUUAAUUUGAUAUGAUAAAAAUAUGAUAUUUUUAAAAAUCGUAAACCAAAUUAUUGAAUCGAACUUUUCAAUACCAUAUCCAGCUCACCCAUAAUUAGCACACAAGCCUAAUAGAAGGUAAAGAGGCUCUAUCACUCUCUUAUUUCUUUUCAAAAUAUAUGGAAUUUUCUAUGACUAUAUUAAAGCUAACACUACACCAUUUUAGGCUUUUAGCCACACCAAUAAAGUGUAGCCUAAACUAGCAAAAAGUGUGGCCUUUGAUAAAAGGCUACACUUUUGAACUUUAAGCAACGCUUUUUAGGGGGUGCCCAAAAGAAGCGUAACCUUUGACAUUAGGCAACACUUUUUAAAUGUCGCCAUCACAGCUACACUUAUAAAGCGUGGCCAAAGAGGUAUAAAGGGACGCUUUGUAGUGAUUCAUUAGCAACACCUUUUUUUAAUUAUACUACACUUAAAAGCGUUGCCUUUGCGUUGUUAUUAGUCACACUUAAAAAGUGUUGACUUUUAUAUCUCAUCUAGAACAACACUUAUAAAGUGUAACUUUUCUUAUGUACAAGAUAACAUUGGAAGUCCUACAGCAACACUUUUGAAGUGUGGCAAUGUUGUGUAGAAUUUUGUAGCCACAAUUUUUUUUAUUUUUAAUGCAAAUAAUUUUUAUUUGCAUAUAUUCAAUAGUCACAUAAAUAAAUAUGCAAGUGACCUUAAGCACAAAAUUAACUAAUAAUUAAAUCGAAGCUAUAUAUUUCAAAUAAACUUCGAGAAACAUGUCUUGUACAACCAAUACUUAGAAAUUGAUUGCUUAAAGAUCUCUACUAUCAAUAAAUUCCACAAAACCAAAUGCAUUCAAACAUAUAUGACAAUAGUACAAAAACUCUUCGUCGUUCACUACAAUAGAUCGAGUUUACUUCUGGCCACAAUUCAAAUUCAAUUACCGGCAUUUUCCUGCACAUUUAAAAUAAAAUUAUAAGUUAGUGAAAUAAAUCAUGUAUUUAAUAUGCUUAAAUUCACAGUAAGCCAAACCAAUUCAUAACAAUAAAGUUGUGGAAGUGCAUAUAAGGUUGACAGAUAACUAUAGACAACACUGCUUGGAAUUCUAUUGAUGAAGUAAAAAGAUGCUAAAACACACUGAUACUAGAACUUUACAUCAUAUACUGAUUUAUAGCAACUGUUUAGCAUAGUCAUUAGUACUCUUGGAUCCAUUCUGAUGACUCCUAGUAGAUAGUGGUACAUUAGUGUUCAAGCCAUAUGUGAAGGUUCCUUUAGCUUGUAUUUCAGUACCUACAUACGUUUGCACAUCUAUCAUAUCAUAGGCAGCCCAGAUGCCUCACUAUAAGUUUUUUUCUUAGACUUGAAGUCAGGUGGAUAGCUUAUUAGUUUGAAACAUUGUCCUUCCUAUGUCCUGUGAAUCUGCAGAACUCACACACCAACUCUUUCCAGAAUUUCCAACUCUUUCGAAGUUAUAGAAAAGCUCAACUCUUUUCAAAAUUUCCAGCACUGUAUUAUAGCGCAAUAGUUGAAUUUCCAGAAUUUCCAGCACUGUAUAAUAUUGCAGCAGCAAAGUUUCCAGAAUUUCCAGAACUGUAUAAUAUUGCAGCAGCUUAGUUUCCAAAAUUUCAGGAUUUUCCAGAAUAUCCAGCACUGUAUAAUAUUGCAGCAGUUGAGUUUUCAGAAUUUCCAGCACUAUAUAAUAGCAGAUUGCAACAGCUGAGUUUCUAGAAUUUUCAGAAUUUCUAGAAUUUCCAGAACUUCCAGUACUGUAUAUACUGUAAACUGAUUCUAUAACCUGCACAUACACAAUAUCCUAGCAGGGAAGCUAAAAACACAACUAAACUGAUUCUAUAACCUGUACAACCAUUCAGAUGAGCAGUGGCAGCCUGUGCAAACAGUAUAAGUUGUUGUCAUGGAUUCUCUAAUUCUUGGUGAUCAGUUGUACUCUGGAGGGUAAGUCCAAAACUAACUUUUUAAAAGUAACUUAUAUAGUCUGUAAAGUUCAGUUCCUUUAAUGCGACAAAAUAGUUUAUGAGUAUACUAUCUCACUUGUUUACAAUAUGUAGUCCAUACAAACUGUACUAAAAUAAAUUCAAACAAAAUCAGGACCUAAACAAACUAUUUUUGAUCAAAUUGAACAUUAGAACUUGAAGCCUCAUAGCAUCAAAUAGCAUUUGAGAACAAUCAUACGGAGAUAUACAAUGAGUAUGUUAAAAGAUGCUCAAAAGAGAACUGAGCCACACUUGGAGAAAAAGGUAAACAACCAGAUUUUACAGCCCCAUUUCGAGAACCCAGAACCCAGAACAGGCACACUAAAAAUCAUGACUGAGUGAACUACAGAGCAUCUUGAACAAACUAAAAGGAGACUCAAUUAACUUUAAGAAAACAGAUUAAAUCAUAUCAACUAAGAAGUUGAUACAAACUAGCAGCUCACUAUUUCAGUCACAACAACGCAUAACACUCUUGGUAUGAAACAAACAAGGAAAAAUUAAAGGUAAAGAGUUGCACCUCCCUCGGAGUGAUGAACUAGGGACAACGACGAAACCAGGAGCGACUUCAAACUGCAGAGCUCACUGUUCUGCCUACAACGCAUAACACUCUUGGUCUGAAACAAACAAGGAAAAAUUAAAGGUAAAGAGUUGCACCUCUCUCGGAGUGAUGAACUAGGGACAACGACGAAACCAGGAGCGACUUCAAACUGCAGAGCUCAUUGUUCUGCCUCUAAUGCCUAUUGCCUGAUAAUAAAGGAAACUAAGGCCAAAAAUUAGAUUUUUGUUUCANNNNNNNNNNNNNNNNNNNNNNNNNNNNNNNNNNNNNNNNNNNNNNNNNNNNNNNNNNNNNNNNNNNNNNNNNNNNNNNNNNNNNNNNNNNNNNNNNNNNCAUUUACUAGACAAGGAAUCUGGCAGAAUAUUAUGAAUCUGACCACUGAAGAACCAGGGUCACCAAAACCAGUAUUGACAGUCUCAAGUUUGGCAAGUAACAUAUCAUCGCGAGUGUUGCCACUGCAGCAGUUCAGAAAGGAACACAUUGCACACUUUCUUAUGGUCAGAUAUACAACACUUUAGGCAGCAUAUACCAUUAUCAAUCUAUACCUUGCAGUAAGUGGACUACUGUAGUAGUCCCUUAUAAUAUCAUUCCCCUUGUCAUCCCGAGCACCAGCACACUGAGAAAUUCAAAUAGGAAGGACAAGUAGAAAUAACAUUAAGAGAAAUGGGAAACAAAAAUAUGUCAAGACACUAGGAAGAAUAAUCAAAUAACUCUGUUGAUGUCCCAAGACUAGAAACAAAGAAAGAAUCUUCAUCCUCCAUGGCACUCUUACAAUACAAUCUUUUCAAAAAGAUUAUUCAAACUAGUACUCAUGCCUAGCUUCUGCUCAUUAUAGCAUAAAUGACUCAAAUUAUUCGAUCUUGUUAUCAUUGCAUUGCUAAGCACAAGUGACAUUUAUAUUUAUUUUUUAGAUACUCUCUUGUCAUAAAUCUCCAAUGAAAAAUCACUAAUUAUCUGUGUAGUACUUGUAGUUGUGGAACCAGUAGAACUCAAACUUGGAGCCAUGGCUGAAGCAACAGUGCUUAACUUGUCUCCAUUCCCAUUACUUUUUGACACACAAGAGUUGCUCAAAUGAACCUCAUUAGCAGCAGCAAUAACAGAGAUUUUUCGGUUAUCAAAAAAGGAUUCUCUAUUUUUUGUUAAGGAACAAAAACAGAAAUUAGAUGCAUAACCACCUUUGAAAUAACAAUAACAAGUGUUGAAGCCAGCUCAGGGCCAACAAUCACUGAAACUACAUUACUAUUUCCAUUCCCAAACAAUCACUGAAACUACAUUACUCGUACGCAAACCCGCUAUGUCAUAUGCUUGAAUUGGAAUGUAUCUGAAUUCUUUCAACAACAUUGUUGAUAGGUUCCAAAGUUAUCAACUUAAAAGUUUUGGCAACUAAUUAAGUGUAAAAGUAAACCUAAGGUAAGAUACAACUAUCUGAUGUUUUCAGUCAUUUCAGAAGCAACCAUAUUUCUAAAUCAAUAAAUCAGUUCUUAGAUAAUAUUCACUCAUUAAUGAUAUUUACUCUUUACAUCCAUGGCAGCAGCACACCAAGUUAUUAACAGAAAAGCUUCACUUUGCCACCAAAAAGUGUAAAUUUCUACAACUUAUAUCUGUGUAAUAUGAAAAACACAUUCCAAAAAUGGGAAAUGUACCGUCUAUUGAUUUGAAUUACUUUUGCAGAUAGUCGAAGUUAAUUUCUUUGAGAAUGACUUGUAUAGAACUGAGUAUAAGAGCUGUGGCAAUACAUGAGACAAUUAAACCACCACCAAUAACAACCUUCUCUAUUUUCAAUGGUAUGUACAGGUACUAGCCGUAACUGAUUGUGCAAUUUCCCUUCAUAUUAUCUUCUGCAAUGUUCAGUCCAAAUAGGUCAAAAUAGCCAAGCCUAUGGUUUGAGAUUAUUUUUAUCAUGCAGGCAUACAGAAAAAAGAGAACUCUUAGAAGGUCGUUUCAGUCCAAGCUGAAUUAGAAGCUCCAGAUGGCUCAUUUUGUUUCUUAUACGAUAUAAGCAGGCUCAUAGACCAAGGAAUUUAGUGAACUAAACUUACCUUUGCUCUUUGCAGUGAUGACUGGAUGACAAAGUUACCAUAAGGGUCCAUCAGUAGCAUUGAACCACUUGGAUUACUGAGCAGCUCGGUGAUAAUUCUCGUUGAGUGCUUUUUUCUUGAAUCGAGGAUAAUUUUCUCAACAACAUUACUAGCGUACUUAUUGCAAGAGAGAGUCAAAAAGUUUCCUUGAAGCCUAUCAAUUAAAAUAUAUGUAACUCUUGGUAACUUCAGUCCCAAAAGAUGUUGCACCAUAUAGUUGCUACAUCAAAUAAAACGUAAAAGCAAUUAGACCUAUAUAGCAACUGCACUUUCACACAUUACAUAAGCACAAGAAAAAGAAAACAAGUCAUACCCAUAUUGAUCUUCUGAUAGUUGCACUGCAUUUGUCAAUAUCUCAGCAAUUAUGCAAUCUCUGAGUUCUCCACCAGCAGAUUCUACACAUGANNNNNNNNNNNNNNNNNNNNNNNNNNNNNNNNNNNNNNNNNNNNNNNNNNNNNNNNNNNNNNNNNNNNNNNNNNNNNNNNNNNNNNNNNNNNNNNNNNNNNNNNNNNNNNNNNNNNNNNNNNNNNNNNNNNNNNNNNNNNNNNNNNNNNNNNNNNNNNNNNNNNNNNNNNNNNNNNNNNNNNNNNNNNNNNNNNNNNNNNNNNNNNNNNNNNNNNNNNNNNNNNNNNNNNNNNNNNNNNNNNNNNNNNNNNNNNNNNNNNNNNNNNNNNNNNNNNNNNNNNNNNNNNNNNNNNNNNNNNNNNNNNNNNNNNNNNNNNNNNNNNNNNNNNNNNNNNNNNNNNNNNNNNNNNNNNNNNNNNNNNNNNNNNNNNNNNNNNNNNNNNNNNNNNNNNNNNNNNNNNNNNNNNNNNNNNNNNNNNNNNNNNNNNNNNNNNNNNNNNNNNNNNNNNNNNNNNNNNNNNNNNNNNNNNNNNNNNNNNNNNNNNNNNNNNNNNNNNNNNNNNNNNNNNNNNNNNNNNNNNNNNNNNNNNNNNNNNNNNNNNNNNNNNNNNNNNNNNNNNNNNNNNNNNNNNNNNNNNNNNNNNNNNNNNNNNNNNNNNNNNNNNNNNNNNNNNNNNNNNNNNNNNNNNNNNNNNNNNNNNNNNNNNNNNNNNNNNNNNNNNNNNNNNNNNNNNNNNNNNNNNNNNNNNNNNNNNNNNNNNNNNNNNNNNNNNNNNNNNNNNNNNNNNNNNNNNNNNNNNNNNNNNNNNNNNNNNNNNNNNNNNNNNNNNNNNNNNNNNNNNNNNNNNNNNNNNNNNNNNNNNNNNNNNNNNNNNNNNNNNNNNNNNNNNNNNNNNNNNNNNNNNNNNNNNNNNNNNNNNNNNNNNNNNNNNNNNNNNNNNNNNNNNNNNNNNNNNNNNNNNNNNNNNNNNNNNNNNNNNNNNNNNNNNNNNNNNNNNNNNNNNNNNNNNNNNNNNNNNNNNNNNNNNNNNNNNNNNNNNNNNNNNNNNNNNNNNNNNNNNNNNNNNNNNNNNNNNNNNNNNNNNNNNNNNNNNNNNNNNNNNNNNNNNNNNNNNNNNNNNNNNNNNNNNNNNNNNNNNNNNNNNNNNNNNNNNNNNNNNNNNNNNNNNNNNNNNNNNNNNNNNNNNNNNNNNNNNNNNNNNNNNNNNNNNNNNNNNNNNNNNNNNNNNNNNNNNNNNNNNNNNNNNNNNNNNNNNNNNNNNNNNNNNNNNNNNNNNNNNNNNNNNNNNNNNNNNNNNNNNNNNNNNNNNNNNNNNNNNNNNNNNNNNNNNNNNNNNNNNNNNNNNNNNNNNNNNNNNNNNNNNNNNNNNNNNNNNNNNNNNNNNNNNNNNNNNNNNNNNNNNNNNNNNNNNNNNNNNNNNNNNNNNNNNNNNNNNNNNNNNNNNNNNNNNNNNNNNNNNNNNNNNNNNNNNNNNNNNNNNNNNNNNNNNNNNNNNNNNNNNNNNNNNNNNNNNNNNNNNNNNNNNNNNNNNNNNNNNNNNNNNNNNNNNNNNNNNNNNNNNNNNNNNNNNNNNNNNNNNNNNNNNNNNNNNNNNNNNNNNNNNNNNNNNNNNNNNNNNNNNNNNNNNNNNNNNNNNNNNNNNNNNNNNNNNNNNNNNNNNNNNNNNNNNNNNNNNNNNNNNNNNNNNNNNNNNNNNNNNNNNNNNNNNNNNNNNNNNNNNNNNNNNNNNNNNNNNNNNNNNNNNNNNNNNNNNNNNNNNNNNNNNNNNNNNNNNNNNNNNNNNNNNNNNNNNNNNNNNNNNNNNNNNNNNNNNNNNNNNNNNNNNNNNNNNNNNNNNNNNNNNNNNNNNNNNNNNNNNNNNNNNNNNNNNNNNNNNNNNNNNNNNNNNNNNNNNNNNNNNGUGUAUGGUUGUAUGCAUUAGCUAAAACCAGGAAACAAUUUGUACAAAAAUCAAGGGAAAAGUGUAGUCUUUAGUAAAAGGCAUACCUGAGACAAACAAAACAAGCAUUAACAUCCAAAAAAAUUGAGAAAGUACUGAACGGAAUGAAACAAUUCCAUAAACUUAUAAUGUUCGGAACUAAACACAUGGUCUAAAGCUGCUGCCAUGUUUUUUUCAUUUAUUUCCCUUAUUUGAACUCUUAAAUACAUGUGAUGGAAGGAGCUUUUUUAAGGUGAGAAUAGUCCAUUACUCCGGAAGAAGUAACCUACAAAUGUAUAUUAUUUAAUAAAAUUUACUUGCUUGAAAACAUUGGAAAAGAGAACAACAAACAGGAUACAUAAUUGACUCAGAUUUGUGUAUACCUAAUUUUCUGGUUUUAGAGGACAUACAAACUACAGAACCAAACAAAUAAAGAAAACAAUACCAAAGAUAUAUUCAUCCACAUUCAGCAAACAAAUAGGAUACAUAACUGACCAUGCAACUCUCCCAGUCCGAACAAAAAAAAAGGUAUGUUACUUGGAAAAAACAGUAGCUACUCUUGUUGUACAUUCGAAAUUUGUACAAUUGUAUAUCAGACUCUAUAAAAAUAGUGGCAAUUAUUUAUGGAGAAACCUUGAGCCACAUUCAUGAUGAAACUACUGAAAUGCCAAAAUUAUUACUCCCUCUGUCUCACUCGAUGGAUUGAGUAACAUCAGCCUUUAUUAACAUCUGUAAUAAAAUGACCACGUCAAAUGUAAUAGAUUAUGUUUCCAGCACACUCCAAAGAUAGUCACAACAUAUCCUUUGCUUGGAUAGGACUAAAAGGAUGGUGUUGAACUAUACAGCUCUUCAUAAUUCCAAAUAAUAUUAAAGGUAUUUGCUGAUUUAAAUACGUAAAAUGCACAAUGAAUGGGGUUUUUCCCUUAAAGCCACAUUCAAGAUGGGGGGUUAGGAAUGACCCCUACCUCGUAUGUUAAUAACAAAUAACAAAACACAUGUAUAAGAGGUAUGCAAUGCCUACCCUAUUCAAGAGUUUCAAGAUUGGACAUGUCCAAUCUUUGCUAAAAUUAACUCUUGAUUAAGCCAUAGCUUUCUAAAAAUGUAAAUGCAUAAAGUAUGUUAAAGGAUUAUAAAUGGAGUUAUCCCUCCUUUAAAUUUCCAGAAAGUAGAAACAGAGGACUAAAGAAUAAUCACACCACAUCUUCAAAUCUAUUUUCAGGCAUCUUUUAUUCUUAACUCUAAAAUUAGGAUAUCUUCAUUUUACCUCUUACUUCAUUUGGUAGCUCUCAAAAGUCAUGAAUAAACAUAAUCAAGUUGCUCAUUUUCUAAAAAAUGGUGUGAAUCUACAAAGGCUUGUAUAAAUUUGGAUAAAACUCUUCUAUAUAUUUAACCUACAUAACUAAAGAAUGACUAAGUUUUGAAGAAUCGACCUCUAUGCAAUGAUCUCACUUCAUGGCAUGUUCAAUUACUAACAACUAUACUUUAAGAGGAAGAUAGACAGCCUAAUUUUAGAUCAGUGUUGGUCAGUAAAUAUGUUGCUCAUUGGAAAGCAAUUGAGAAAUGAUCAAAAUAUGAUAGUGAACAAUAUAAUACACUUUAACAACUGCACAGCCUGACACCAACUAUAUUCAAAGUCUAACUUUAUAAAUUUUUAUUUUUCAGGAUAUAUACAACUAUAUGUUCUCAUAAUUAAGUUCAUACCUAAGUGAUAGAAUUCCUAUGAAAAGAAGUAAGAAAAUUAAUAAAUAAAAUUCAGUUACAUCAAUUCUUCAAGCAUAUUAUCAAACAACUUGACUACAUUAGAUGCACAUAAAAAAUCUCCUUAUACCGUCUAAAUGUUGGCUUCUUCUUAAUAAAUUUUGCAAGCAAACUUUUACUAUAUUUGUGCAGGUUCUUCAUUAUUUUCUGCCAGCUAUUUUUUUUUCUAUGGUGGAUUAUUUUUAGGUAGUAAACAAUGAUAUUACACAAGAGAAAUAUACAAGAUUGGAAACUGAAAUUAUAUCAAAAGUCAUUUUUAAUGUUAUGCCAUAUUGCUUACAAUUAUUGUCUAGUAGUAAUAAAUAAUGUAACUCUUGAGUUGUUUAAUGAUGGACAUAUCAGUUACAUAAAAUAGAACCUACACCGAUGCACAUGAAUUCUUACAAGAAGCGUGUGAUCAAACAAUCAAAUUCAUCAAAAUUAACAAACAAUUACGAUUAAGAAGCCAAAAAGGUAAACAAAGUAAAAAUUCAAACACUUCAUAAGUGGAAUGAAAACAAAGUACAAAUUUAAGAACUUCAGAAGUAGGAAGAAGAUGUCAAAGGCAGUAAUCAACACCAGGACCAACAAAUAGAGCAAAAGAACGAAGAACAUAAUUCAAAAUUACUGACGUUCAUGCAAAAUUCUAGCAAAAACUGAUAUACAAUAGGGCGAGAAUGAUAUCGAGAAGAAGACUAAAAUAUAUGAGCUGAGUGGCUGAAUCUAUAUCCAUCGCCACAACAUGUAGAGUUUCCGAUUCCUCCUGAUCUGGAAUUCUUCGAAUUGUUUCUCUUGUCUCUCCCAUAAAGGUGAAGAACGAUUAAGGAAAUCACAAUCAAACAUCGAUAAAGUUACAAUGGAGAAUUUUUGGGGUGGAAAUGAGAAGGAGAGAAAGUAGGGUUUAACUUUUGAACAUUGAUAUAGGCAAAGAGCAACUAGGAGAGCAUUUUAAUUUGGGGAAAAACGUUUUUAGAGUUAUUUUUAUAUUGAGGUUAUUUUUUGCCAAUUAGAAAUUGGAGGGAGAAUUAAAUAUAUUGGGGGGAAUACAUUAUUUUGGUGAAAAAUAUAGGAAAAUUAUAAGGCCACACUUGUAAAGUGUUGUUUUAAGAAUUAUAAAAAUAUCACACUAUAAAAGCGUAGUCAUAUGUAUAAAUAUGCAUUGCUAAUUAUAUCAUGAUGUGGAAACACUUAUAAUGUGUAGCCUAUACUACUAAAGAGAACAUUUUAUAAGUGUUGCCAAAAUUACCGUAGCCAAAUGGUAAAAAUUAAGGAUAUGCUUUAAAAGUGUAGCCAAAAAUGUUUUAGGCGACACUUUACAAGUGUUGUCCAGAUUUAGUGUUGUCUUAGGCCUAAAAUGGUGUAGUGUAAGUAAUCUAUAAUGAGCUAAUUUACAUAUUAAUAUUUUAAUUACAGUUAAAAGCAAAGUUAAUGGACGUGUGAUACAUCUUUGAGACGUAAGGAACAGUACCACUAAUAAUUAAUACUACCUCUUCUCAAUUUAUGUAACACAUUUCGUUUUCUGAGAAUCAAACAGAUUAAGCUUGAUUGGAAAUUUGCACAUGAAAUCUUCAAUUUUUUUAAAAAUUAAAUUUAUAUAUUUGUAAACUACGUAAAAAUUACUAUAAGUCACAAUAAUUGACAAUCUAAAAUAUUUAAAAGAUAUAUAAAAUAUUUACGAUAAAAAAUAAACUUAUUUGACUUUCGAAAUUCAAAAUUUGUACGACCUGUAUAUUAAUAUUAUACACGUGUGACCAAAUGUCCAAAUCUUCAAUCCGUACACGCACAUGUGAUUAAACAUGGUGAUGAGAGGCCAUCCCAUCUGUUUGCCUUACUUAUAAUUUUCACGGUAAAGACAUAAAUUUCCCCUUAAACUUAUAUUGAAAAGUCAUUUACACGUUAAAUUAUCAUGAUGACAUAUUACACAUUUUUACUAUUCAAAAGCGAAUUUAAUACCACCCUGAGACGUGUAACACCACUCUCACAGGGUGUAGUGUAAUACACUCGCCGCCAUAUCAGCGCUACUUCAACGCCAUGUCAGAAAUUAUGAUUUUUUAUAAAUUUUUUUGUUUUCUUUUUGUUAGCAAUAUUUUAUACUAAUUAAUUAUUAAAAUUCUCUAAUAAGUAUGCUUUCUUCAUCAAAAUUUCCAACCCACUCCAUCUCUUAUCUCACGGAAAAAAUUAUAUUCGGCUACCUUAUUCACUAUUGAUUCUUUGUUCUUCACCACCGCCAUAUCACCUUCAAUUCUUCUUAUUCUUCACCAUCCACCACUAAAUAUCACCAUGACCAUUUCUAAUAUAAUUUUUUUCUUCUUCAUCAUCUUCAAUUUCCAUUUAUUUUUUUUCAAAAUCAUUACCCAGCGCCACUCAGGGUCGUCUCAACAAGUUUGAGGGCCUAAAGCUAAACUUCAUAAAGAGGCCCAAUUUUUUCAGUUGACAACUAUAAAUUGAAUAAUUAUAACAUACUCAAUGUAAUCCUAUAAAUGAGGUAUGGAGAGGCAGGAUAUAUCCAAACAUUAUGAAGUAAGAAUGCAAAUAAUGUAAAUUUUCAAUGAAAAUUAUAUAAUAUAAAGUUAGAAUAAUAAAACAUGACUCAAAUUUUUUUAAAAUAUGAUGAUAUUAAAAUAGUGUCGCGAUGAAUUUGAUAAGUUGAUAUAAUAAUAUCAAAAUAUUAUUGGUUUGGUUUUAGUGCUUGAAAUUCGAAUUAGACACCAAAAACAACUUUGAUUUUUUUAUAAACACACAACACAACAAUAUAUUUUACAUAAUUUUGAAGGUUUGAACAUUUGAGAGACUUUAGAAUAUUCAAUAAUGAAAGAAUAAAAAAUAGUGAAAAGAGAAUAAAGAAAAGUAAGUAUAAGAACACAAUAUUGUUGGUUCAUGAUAAUCCUCAUAAUAUAACUAGAAAGGAUAGUCACAUGUGAAACUAGAAAGGAUACUACAAUUAACUAGCCACAUAAUAAUCUAGAAAAAAUACUACAAUCAACUAAACAAUAUUCAAUUUCUCAAUUAUAUUUUCUAUACAAAAAAAUAUUUUCAAAUUUAUCAAUACAUGAAUUUUUUUUAAAACUAUAUAUAUAUAUUUUACCCUUAUUUAGAAGUGCCACUUAAAAAGGACCAACACUGCAGCUGCUCAUUGUACUAAAGGCAGUACUAGGUGUACAUUUAAAAGGACUAACAUUGCAUCUGUUGGUUGUACUAAAGGCAGUGAUAAUUGUACCUUUGGAAAUUGUACAUUUACACCACCAACACCCUCUCUCAUUUUCUUUUCACUUUCUCUAGAACUUUCUCAAAUUUGUAACCCUAAUUUCUCUCCCUCUCAACUCUUCUUCCGACUUCUCAACUCUUCUACGGUGAAUCGACCUGUUCUUUACUGAUUUCGGUUUCUGUACGUCUCUCUGAAGGUUUCCUCAAGUUUUCUCUUUUUCUACGACGACUUGCGGAGGUUCUUCGUCAUGGUUUAAGGUAAAUUUCAAUGGCGAUUCUAUCUCUUCUUUAUUCUUUGUUGUUUGUCUAAACCCUUUAAAUCUCUCUCUCAAGCUUGCCUGAAGAUUUCUCUUUCUUUCCCACGACCUGCGCAGGUAUUUCUUCAUGAUUUAAGCGACCCUAAUUUCUCUCCCUCUCAACUCUUCAAUGGCGAAUCCAGUUGUUGUUCUAUGUUUUUGGUUUGUCUACAGCCUUUAAAUUGCUCUCUGAAGAUUUGCUCAAGAUUUCUGUUUCUGUCCCACGAGCUACGCAGGUACUUCUUCAUCCUUUGAGCGAAAUUUCAAUGUCCAAUCCAUCUGUUCUUUCCUGCUUUCUGUUUCUCUACAGCAUUUAAAUCUCUCUCUCAAGAUUUGCUGAACAUUUCUGUUUAGUUCCCUUUUUUGGUAUUCUGUAUAUACUGUUUUGGUCAGACAAGGAAUGUUCUGCAAUAUAUACUGAAGUUCUUGAAUCUAUGUGAACUUUAAAGUCAAAGAUAUGUCUAUUUAAGAUGCUUUUGCAUGUUCAUAAGGGAAAACAUCAGUAACGUUGCAAUGUUUAUUGUUUUUCUGCAUUUUCUCUUUUUAUGGGUUGUCAUAGGAAACGGCCCUUUUUGUUGUUAUAUCCAUGGAUAUUCUCUUGAUGAUAGUAACAUCUCUUCUUUACUGUUGUUCUCUUUCUCUACAGCCUUUAAAUUUGUCGCUGAACCUUUCGUCAACAUUUCUGUUUAUUUGCCUUUUUGGGUAUUUCGUAUAUAUUGUUUUCGUCAGACAAAGAAUGUUCUACAACAUAUAGUCAAAUUCUUGAAUGCAUCUGCACUUUAAAGUCAAACAUAUGUCUAUUUCAGAUGUUUUUGCAUAUUCAUAAGGGAAAAAAGGAGUAGAGUUGCAAUCUUUAUUGUUUGGCUGUAUAUUCUCUUUUCCUGUGUUGUCAUAGGACACACGACUUUUUCUUCUUAUAUCUAUCGCUGUUCUGUUGAUGAUAGUAACAUUCCCUUUUAUAUAAUAAGUUGUUAAUUCUUUUAUUUUUUACUACAUUUGGAACCUAAUUGGUUAGCAAUAUAUGUUAUUUGCCAUGUGCCAAUUUAUGUUUCUCCAAUUCCUACUUUGUCUUUUGUUUUGCUCUUUUGGUCAUUCCUAAUUUGUCUCCUCUACACCAUAUUAAGCCAUAUUAUACUGUAUGUAUGUGCUUCAAACUUCUGCUGAAUAAUUCCAUCUAUUUGUUUGUUACACUAUCUUUACCACCGAAUCGCCACAACGCCUCCAAAACACAAGAUUCGCUUUUACACUUUCACUUCUUCAAAACUUUGGCUUCCAACGCUUUCUCCAUUUCUGUUUUCCCUGCUGUUUACGCUUUCCAUUCUCCAAACAAAUCCCUUGCCAAAAGGAAAUACAAUAUUUCUUCUAAUAUAUUUAAUAAUAAUUCCUUUCAUUUGUUCUGUAUGUACUUCUCACUUAUUCCAUACUGAAUUUGCUCAAAUUCAAUAUUCCUAAAUAAUCAUUUCCCCCCGCAGGAGAUUGCGUCUAACUUGGCGAUAGAAAUAGCUGUCAUACAGACCAUCCCACUAGGUCUGCAGCAGCCUCUUCAUUAUCACCACCUUAGAACGAUUCCUUCAGCUGCUCACCCAAACCUUAUAUACAUACUACGCAGUCCACAAGAUUCAGAGACAUCCGACACGCGCUCACACGUACCUUAUAUGUUCUGUUUCAUCAUCUAUACGAUUUCCUACACCCACCAGCUAUUCUCCCACAGUUUUCCUCAACUGUUUACUCCCGCAGCAAAGUGUCUGAUAAAGGUCCUACCAUUAACUUUGGGUAGUUUAUUUGUGCUCCUAAGUUACUACUUCUCUUAUUUAUUUAUUCACCAUUGUUUGCGCGUCACUUUUCCUUCAAGUCUUUUAAUUAUCUUUGUGAGCUUUCUUCAAUUUUCUGGUUUCCAACAUACUCCAAAUUCUGAGUGCCUAUUAAAAUUCAUUAGCUGCUACAAAUAUCCCAUGUAAUAUAAUUAAUGAUUCAUUUCAGAUGUUCCAUAUGCCGCUCUAACUUCUUUCAUAUUCAAUUUCCCGCAUUUGAAAAAACUAGCUACUAAAUCUAUUUUACAGGAGAUUGCCUGCAACUGAAAGGUAGAAAUACCGUUGAUACAGAACAGCCUGCAGGGUCUUUAAUUGCCCACGCAAAGCAUCUAUACAUGCUAGCCCGUCCACAACAUUCACAUACAUCCUACAUGUGGUCGCAGGUAGCUUAUAUGUUGUCUCCUAUGCUCUAAUUUACUGCUUAACGUUUCAAGUUUGUCCAAUUUGCUGUUUUUCCUGGAUAGUCCAAACUGUUUCUAAGCUUAUCCUUUCUUUAUUUCUGGAUAGUUGUUUCUACGGUUAUCCUUACUUUAUUUCGGUUGCUGAUCAUUUCUUUUCCUCCUAUUAAAUAUCCUUCCGAUAUACGAGCCAUUUACAUGUUAUGCUUGCGUAAGAAGGAAACAAUUAGCUAACAAAAAAUGCCACUAUAAUACAGCAUACACCUUCCAUGCUCUCUGUUGGACAACAAACAAUUAUUACAUUCACCAAUAGAUGUGACCUCUAUUUCUAAGCAGUUUACGUACAUUCCAAAUUUAUCGUUCGUCCUGUACUUUAGCUUUCUUUAGCUAUGUCAAUUCAAAUUGCCUUUUUUCCCAUUGACUUUCUUCGCACUCUAUUCUUCAGUAACAACACAAAACCUCUACAAACUUGUUAGGUUUUCUGCUAUCGUCAAAUGCAAGCUAAAAACAUUUAAUUUUUCCCCCCACACAUUUUCUACACCGUAUUCUUUGGUGCGUCAAUGAUACAAAAGGUGCAUCAUCUCUCUUUGCUGCCUGUCCAUUGUUUCUGUCUUUUUCCUCCACACACACAUUUGUAAGCUAUAUCGUUUCUUUCGAUCGCUUUCAAAUGUCACUUGCUGCUGCUACUUACACUUUUUCUUUGUACCUCAUUUUAUCUGUUCAUUCACCUCUGCUGAAGUGUGCUAACAGAUUUGCACAUGAAUGUACUUUCACUGUGACAGCACUGUUCUUUCUGCUUUUAUUUGUUGCUUAUUCUCUGUUUCUUUACACAAGAUACAACGUUUAUUAUCCUUCUGCAGUUUAUACGUGAACUGACCCAAUAGUAACAGCUAUAAUUCUGAAGUAGUGUACUUGUUCCACAUUCUUUCGCAAACUUCACAUUAAGGUUUGACCAAAAUUUCUCUUCUCCAACUUUCUCUCUUCAGAAUGGACACUGACUGAUUUUCGUGCAAUAUUACUAUCAGCUGUUGUUUUCGGCUUGGAUAAAACCUUUACAUAAAACCUAAUAUACAACUACAGUUACCUACCAAAUACACUGCCAAUGUUUCGUUCAGCAACUUCAAACUUAUUACCUCAAACCUAACAUUGGUUUUCUUUAGCAAAAAACUAUCUACCCAUCAGAGUCAAUGUUUGCUCUUUUAUUUCUUCUCUUUCUGCUUCAGAUUUCUAUUUUCUUCUAUUCUACAUAGAGGCUCACCUCUUGCAUGGCAGUCGUUAGAUGGAUAAGCUACCUUUGCCUUUUCUCUUCUCCCAACAUUGCUGUCACUCUUAGUAGUCUGUUAGCAUCUACAUGUCUGCGAAAUUUUACCAAGCAAUUAUUUCAGGUAACAAACAUUUAACACUUAUAGGAUGGAUUGGUAACAACAUAAACCGGUAAAAUAUCAACUGUUUCUUCUUUCUGGAAUAUAUUGCAGAAAAAUUCAGUAAUUUUAAAGAGAAAUAACAGACAAACAAAGCAACUGAUACCUAAAGGGCCAACAGCGUAAAGAAUAACAUAGGAAAGGUGAACAACAGGAAUAGAGCUCUCACUUUGCCUACAGAGUACCCGUCGUCCCCUCAUUUCCGUUCUCAUCUGACACAUUUAUUCCUCUCCACUGUCAUCUAACAAAAAAAUUAAAACUCAUUUGAUUUCCCCUUAAAAUAUGUACAUGCUGAUAGUUUACGCAGGAAGAUGAAGGUAGAACAAAUUGUUCAUGGCUAAAAAUGCCAAAAAACAUUUCACACAUGAUAUAUACAAUCAUAAUUCAAGUAGGAAAAAAUUUAAAAAAACAAAUGAAUGUAGCCAAAAAUUUAAUAGUUCAAAUUUUACACCUAAAUGUCAUGAUUGACAAAUAACUAAUUGCACCUACAUGGUUACGAGAUCAACAUAGAAGCAAAAGUUAAUAGUAGGAUACAUGCUAUGUGCUCUUUCAUGCUUCUCUAAUUUAUGUUCAUUGUUUCUCCUACCUUCCUUUGGCAACAGUUGGUUAAUGCUUUCCUAUUACAUCAAAAGGUCACUUCUACACUAUGUUGCUCGGACUCUUCAAAAAUGCCAAUGGAUGCAUGUCGGAUUCGCCAAAAGUAGUGUAUUUUUGGAGAAUCCGAGACGGGUGCGGCAUCAAAAGUGAAGAGUCCGCGCAACUAAGCUUCUACAGCUAGAAAGUCAAUUUUACUCUACGUUCCUGCUUUCCUUUGAUGCUUGUUCCCUUUUCCUUUAACGUGCUGGAAAAAACUACUAUUUUCAUGCAACUUCAUUGUGUAUGCUCAGUUUUAUGCGUCAUUAUUCUUGUACUUUUGUUUUGCACAUGUGCAAUGCCUGUAUUACUUCGAAAGGCAUUCUCUAAUGUAAUUUCGUACUUAUGUGACCUAAUUUUACAUUUAUGUCCUGCCUUUCUGUUUUCCUGUCCACAACUUAUCUUACUUGAUGAAGUUUUGUUUUCUCAUAUCGUUCUAAUUGUUUAUAGUUAAUGUAUGUUCCUUGCAGCUACACAAAAGAUAUACAACACACCUUUGGCUUUUCAGGCAUUAUUUGUUUGCAGUACUGCAAAACAAGGUAAUGCAAUACUUCCCUAGCUCAUUUCUCUAUUACAGUGUUUACUUUACAACAUGAAUUUUGCAUAAUGUUUCUUCUCAAAUGGUUAUUUUCAUCCUUCCUUACAACAAAUUAGUACACCUACAUAUGAAGAAUUUCAUCUAAUUUGCUCUUGCAUGUUUCCGAAUAAAACUAAACACACACAUUACUUUCCAUUCUUUAUCCGCAUAGUACUGCUACGGAGAUUUGUGUGAUAAUAGUUUCCCUUACUUUCAUUCCUCCAGUAGUUUUUGUUCCACUACUUUGACUUGCUUUGAGGUUAACAACGAAGCUGACCAAACAAUCGAAUAUGCAAAUGAAGUGUUUGGUCAAAGUGUUGAUCUUCAGUAUAACUUCUGUACAAGCUGUAGACAUCAUCAUCCUUCACCAGAAGCUUUACUAUUCACUUCUACAACAUCAUCAUCCUUACCUUCCAAAUCUUGUACCAUUUUUUAGAUCACUCAAACAUCCACAACACCAUUUCUAGCAGUUCGUUCCUCCUAAAGUGAUACUUGACUUUCUAGCUCUUUCAACUUUUCCAAAUACAACUUCAGUUUUGCCUCAACUUUAGCUGCUUCAUUUUUUAGCUGCUCAUUUUUCCUCUGCACAUCCUUCAAUCAAUUCUCCAUCGAUUGAAGAAUAUGCAGAAGAAAAAUGAACAGCUAAAAAAUGAAGAAGCUAAAAUUCAAGUAAAACUUAAGAUGUAUUUGCAAAAGUUCACACACUUGGAAAAUACAUUAUCACUUCAGGACAAAACAACUGCUAAAAAUGGUGCUGUGAAUGUCUCACUGAUCCAAAAAAUGGUAAAAGAUUUGAAAAUUCAGGAUGAUGACACUGUACAAGUGAAUAGUAAAGCUUCUGGUGCUAAUGGAGAUUUUCAGGAAAAACAAUUCUCACCACCUGCGCCUCCAUUAGUUCAUUCAGCUGCAAAUGGAAAUGGAAAUGGCUGCGGUAAAUGAACAAAUGAAGGUAUUAUUAUGCUUAUAUUGGUCUUGUUCACCUUAUUUUUACAAUUAUGCACUCAAAUUCUUGAUGGUUUUCAAUUUCAGUUAGGGACUUACAGUUAUUGAGUGAUAAUUUUUGUCCUAUGCUUAAGCUUUACUUAUCUAUGAAUCCAUUUCCAAAUUUUUGCUUGCCUUUCGACCUAAACCUAACUCCUGAGAAUUUAUGUGCAACUGCAAAUUUGGUGGACACUGAUAUAGUAAUUGCGUGCAGUGAACAUAAUUGGUGUUCCUUUGUUUUAAAUUUGGAACUGUAGGAUUAAUAUGGUCACAUGACUAUAGCUGCAGGUAGUCGUAACACAGACUUCAUUUUUACAAAAAUCAAUCUGCUUAAUUGUGCUGAUGUCCAGACAUAGCAUCCCAUACCUUCUGCCAGUGGUUCUGCUCACGUGAAUAGCAAUGUUUCCAACAUACAAAAUUGAAGACACCAGUCACAGCAAGCAGGUACAAAUGAUUUCUCAUGCUUAUUCCUACAUUUCUGUUCUUAUUUCUGCCGUUCAACCCAUAGUUCAACUUGUUUCCCUUUCACAGCUGAGAAUAUCAAUCCUUGUGCUUUUAUGUUCACAAUAUCAAUCCUUCUUCUAUGCAAAUUGACCAACGUAUUUGGGCCUAUAUGUUGCAUUCUCUAUGGAAUUUAUUAUUCUUCAUUUAACAAACUUUAUCAACCAUACUUCAUUGCACAUACACCUUAAUGGAACACCAUAUGGUUUUUACAUUGUAUCACAUAACAUUAAUUGCAAAAUAAACGCAAACUAGCCUUUUCAAUUGCUCUCUCAACCUGUUAAAAUAAUUGUAGCAGCUUCACAUAUUUGCAGAUUAGAAUUCUGAAUUUCUUAGUCAUCAAAACGCAGCAAAUGAACUUAACUACAGAGAGGAGUACAAGGUACAUUUUAGCUCCAUGUGGUUUAGUCACAACCUUAGUUCUCAUGCUAACUUCCUAGGUAUAGAAUAACUGCACUUCCUUUUGUCUCAGUUCAUUCUCCAUCCAUACAACUGCAAUUUCACAGGCAAAGCACAUAUCAUCGUGCAGUCCUGCUGAUCUGCUCUCCUGCAGAAGAAGGGCACAGAAAGAUCCAGCAUUUAUAUGAAAAUGUAAUGAAUUAACUAAUGGACUACAUAGUCACACCAGCGCAGAUAAAGUGUCAACACUAACCUAGGUAACUCUGUCAGCUCCAUGAAAACUGCAUAUAUUUUUUCUCUUAAGCAUAUUCUCUCUAAAUUUACAGUUCAAGUUUGGUAAAAAUUUAAUCUUCUAUAUUUGCUUGCAACUUCAUUUAUUUACUUUUCAAAUAUAUAUAAAGCUUUAGCAUUUUUGUUCUGCUUAGUAUACAUAAUUCUACCCAUAAUCAUAUAAGCUCAAAUCAUUCACAUUUAAAGUCCCUAAUAAUGUCAAAUAUACAUUUAUGAAUUUCCCUUACUAUAGGAGAAAGCUACAACAACUAUCAUUCAAGUUUUGCAUGUAGUAAAGGAAAAGGCAAAGACACCGAAAAUAUUCUUUACUCAAAGGUAUAUAAUAUCUACUCUUCUAUAUUUCAUAUAUGUCAUCAGUUCAAAGACAGAGUUCAUAUAUAUUUUUAAACAACACAGUCAAUUAGAGCAUACAGUGUCCUAUUUUCAUUGCAGCUUUUAACUUGUUCUUCUUCCUAAUUUUCAGAAAACAGACAUAUAUUAUAUAUCCUAAAGCACAUAUUUUCUCUUCCAUUGUAGGUCAAAAGUUUCCAAUUUAGAGCAAAGAUAAAUCUGCUUGCCCAACUUUUUACCAUCAACAUAAUAAUAAUCUAUAGCAACAUCACCAAACUACUGCAACAAUGACGUUGUACGCACUGCUUCAAUCAAAUGGCACCUCAUCGCUAAUAUAGAUGCUGAAGUACCAAUACUGCAGCAGGUUCGACAAUUUUCUAUUUGUUUUCAAAAUCCCUCUCUUGUAGUUCUUAUGAAAUGAAAAUGACUUCUUACUUAUACACAGUACAAUCAAUCACAUAGACAUAUUAUAAAAUCAUUAACUGAAAGCAAUUGCUCUCAUGAGAAAAUUUUGUAGCUUGUUAGGACUAAAUUACCAUUCUUAAUAAGUGAGGGCUUUCUCAGUCCAAUAAAAUCAAUAAAUUCGUUACAACUGUACAUUUAAGGCUACUUUUGUAAAUAGAUAAAAAUUUAAGCCCACUUCUAUUUUGCCUUUUCAAUUUCCGCAUCAUUUAAGCAUUACAACAACUGAAGGUUCUCUUCUGUUCACACCUAUUUGCUACCUCCAUUGCAGCUGCCACCUCUUAUUUCUUUCUUUCUCUACAUAUGUGAAUAUGGAAAACUUCGUUGGAGUUCAUCCAUCUUCCAAACUAACAAAGGUAUGCUGCCUGCCUUUGCUCUGCUCAUUUUACUCUCUUUCCUGCACAAUUACUUGGCUCUCUGUUUGCUCUCUUGUAGUUCUUAUCAAAUCAAAAUGACUUCUAAAUUAUAGACAGUACAAUCAAUGACAUACACAUAUUAUAAAAUCAUCAGCUCAAACCAAUUGUCUGAUGAGAAAAGUGGCUACCUUAUUACAAGUAAAUUGCCUACUAAGUUCAUGUCCUUUUGCAAAAGCACAUCUUACUGUAUAUUUGGUCAUUCUCUUCUACUCUCUAUAUUCAUUUCGGUGGGAACAAUAGGGCUCUUAUCAAAUGUAAUUAUACCUAAAUGGAUUAUAUGAUAUAAACGUCAUGUCCUCUAAGCAAAUCAAUGUAAUCUACUGUAGCUGCUCACUGUACUAAUGCACAAAUGCCAUUCAAUUCUUUCGUUAGUUGCCUUACUUAGUAUUGAUUUGAAGUAUAUAUGUCAUGUCAAACAAGAGGAAAACUCCACUCUAUGUCUUACUGCUUGUAGGAUUUCUACACUGCUCAUGUGCAUAACAAAUGUCUACUGAAUAGGUGAAUGAAACAUAAUUCAACGGGAAAGAACAACUCCUUAAUAUCCAGAAUAAACUACAGUAGUUUACCUGAAACAACGAGACAAUCUCUUUUGUUGACACGUAUUUCCUACCUCCAUUGCAGCUGCCACCUGUUAUUUCUUUCUUCCUCUACAUCUCUGAAUAUGCAAAGCUUCUUUGGACUUCAUCCAUCUUCCAAGCUAUGAAAGGUAUGCUGCCUGCCUUUGCUCUGCUGAUUUUACUCUCUUUGCUGGACAAUUAGUUAAAUCUCUGUUUGCUCUCUUGUAGUUCUUAUCACAUCAACAUUACUUCUGAAUUAUACACAGUGCAAUCAAUGACAUAGACAUAUUAGAAAAUCAUCAACUCAAACCAAUUGUUGUCAUGACAAAAGUCUCUUGCUUACUAGGAGUAAACUGCCUACUAAGUUUCUGUCCUUCAGCAUAAGCAAAUCUUACUGUAUAUUUGAUCAUUCUCUUGUACUUUCUAUAUUCAUUUCACUCGGAACAAAACAGCUCUUAUCAAAUGUAAUUAUACUUAAAUGGAUUAUAUGAUAUAAAUGUAAUGCCCUCUGAGGAAAUCAGUGUAAUAUACUGUAACCAUUCCCUGUACUAAUGCGUAAAUCUUACUCAAUUUUUUCUUUAGUUGCCUUAGUUAAUAUUGAUUUGCAGUAUGUAUGUCAUGUCAAACUACAGGAAAACUCCACUCCAUAUCUUACUUCUUCUGGGAUUUCUACAGUGCCAAUGUCCAUAACAAAUAUGUAGUAAAUAGGUGAAUGAAAGAUAAUUCAACAAGAAAGAACAACUUCUUAAUUUGCAGAAUAAACUACAGUACUUUAGCUGAAACAACAACACAAUUUUCUUUGUCCAGCUCCUCCACACUAAAGAGACAGUUAACUUUGGGAACUCCAAAGAUCCAACAAUUUUACCCAAUGUAUUAACCACAUAUAUGGUUGUCCCUUAGACACAACUGCUAUUUACGCCUUUACCACAUAUGUGCCUUUUAAUAUAUGCUCUACUCUUGGUAAGCUGUCAUUUGACCGUUUAGUUAAUUAGAGUGGUCUCAAGAAUGCAAUCUUCAUUUGAAUCUUCGCUUUUGCAUAGUUUUAACUAAUACACUGCGUACUUGCUAGACGUUAUGUAGGAUUUGCGAACUCACACUUCUUCAACUGCUGAAAUAAAGAACAAACUUCUCACUGACAAACGUAAGUUUCUGCAUUUUCCUACUCUAUAGUUUUUUGCCUCUAUUACUAUUCUGCUAUAUUCUUCACUCUACAUUGUACUCUCUUAUUAUGUGUUCACUGACCCUAAUCGAACAGCAAGAUAUUACCUUCAAUAAAAGAACUUCGCUAAAUACUUGCCCUGAGCUGUCUACCACUAAACAGAAAAUAAAUACAAUCUUGCCUCGACAAACAGCUACUACCAAAAAGGAUUCCAAAAAAAGGAGAAACCCAAUUUCUUAGCAUAAAAUAACAACUGAAAAAAGGGUAGCUCUUCUGCCACUACGCUAGCCAGAAUACUCUGCUCAAGCACAUGCUCUUCCUCAAAAUGUUGCUGCUCUCCAUUUUACAAAAGCUAACUGUGGCCGUCAAAGUAUAACUCCACCACAAUCUACUGUGUUCCUUCACAAUAAACCAUCACCUCUUACGUCAACAUCUCAAAGGCAGAGCUUCUUCCACUUAGUAUACUUAAUUAUUCCCAUAAUCAUAUAGGUUCAAAUCAUUCACAUUUAGAGUCCCUAAUAAUGUCAAAUACACGGUAAUGAAUUCGCCUUGCUAUGGGAGAAACCUAGAAGGAAUAUGAUUGAAGUUUUGCAUGUAGUAAACGAAAAGCCAAAGGCAGUACUAAUCUCUGUGUGCUUCUGAACUUAUCACGCGUUCAAAUGUAUUUUACUUUUAACAAAAUGCAUUAGCUACCUUUACGCUAACAAUUCGUACAUUCAAUUUUACAAUAGAAACAAAAUGGUAAUGCUAUACUAUUUUUGCUACCUUACUAACCAGCUGACACAUGAUUUCAUGUCUCUGUGUACGUAUAUAUAUAGAUAGAGAUAUAUAUAUACAUGUAUAUAUAGAUAUAUAUAUAUAAAGAGACAGAGACAGAGAGACAGUGUAUAUAUAUACACAUAUAUAUAGAUACAUAGAUAGAUAGAUAACUUUUUUAUUUCCUCAUUUAGAAAGAACAAUUAAACUACAACUGUCUUCUUCAAAAUUCAUGCAGUUUUGGCUGCCAAUGAAAUAAUGCCAAAAAACAGACAUACUUAUUACAUUAGGUAGUCAAAGGUAAUGAUUUUGUCUCUUUCUGCACUGCCAAAUGUACUGAUUUACUGUCUUUUCUGGCACAAUUUCAUUGGCACCCAAAACCCCAUGAAUUUCUAGGAAGACACAUGUUUUUUUUUGGUCCUUUAUAAUUUCUCUAUAUUUUAAAAAAAUAAAUAUAUUAACAGAUUAGAUAAGAGUAAGGUAAUAUAUAUAUAUUAUAUAUAUAUAGAGAUAUAGGUAUAUAUAUAUUAUAUAUAUAUAUAUAAUAUAUAUAUAUCCCAUUUUCAAGUUUUCUUCCACAUUCUGCUUGUCACCAAAACAGAAAAUCAAAAUACAUCCAAAUUACAGUUAUUAGGUGCACAGCAAUUACUAUGGUCUUACAUUUGUACUGGUAUUACAAAUCUAAAAGCCAAAGUAAUAGCCUCCCUUCUGAAUUUCCUGUUUGGUGCCUCAUAUUUAAUGCUUUCAAUAUUAUUCAAUCUUUCAUACAUGCACCAUGGAUCCAGCAGUAUGCUUUUACCUUCAGGCCCAACGUCAUCAAAAUAUCUGCAGCAUAGUUCUUUUCUUUUGUCUUUUUUCUUACUUUCUGUUUAUUGACAUUUUAGAUAGCAACAUGACAAUUGACUUUUUCUAUGAAAAAUAGGAAACAUUUUUGGUAAUACUAAAUGGUGCCUUUGGAUAUAAAUCUGACAGCUUAGGUCUCUUGUACAAAAUGUAUCUUUCAUGAUACUAAGUCAUACAUAAGCCAUCACAUACUACCUUCAGUAAAUUUUUUCAUAUUGUUUUUCUCAAAUACAUAGUGAUUUGACUCAGGUUUCACAGAUAAUUGUUGUUGUUUUAAUAGUCUGCAACAUUUACUGUCCCUGUAACAGAUCUUGUGUAAAAAAAAGAUUUGUCCAACAGUACUUUGCACAUUAAUAAUGCAUGCACACUGAUUUUGUGUCUUCAGUGAACUCCACUAAAGAGCCCUAAUAGAUUUACACAUGACUCUACUUCUACUACAACAACACUGUUCUUUUCCUUUUCAUUUGUUCUUUUUUUUUCUUUUCCCCCCGCACACAAACUUUAUUAUGUCCUAACUUGCUUUUACAACAGUUUGUUACUGCUUUGUGCCUACAUCAACAGCUCAUUUGUGCAGCUACAAUGUGCAUUUUACUCCACAAUGCUCCUUGCAUUUGAUUCCUUCUUUUCUCUUCUCUAAACAAAUUAAACAAUCUUGCAUAUCCCUAAUUUAAUCAGCCCUGUUCAUAAAACCCCAACAAAGCAAGUAGUUUGACUGAAUAUUCAUGUUAUCCUGCAGCUACUACUAUUUGGUUAACUAUCUUUCCUACAAACAUGGUACUAAGAGUGAACAUCAACCAAAUAGAACCAGCAACACGAGAUUGGAUUUGCAAAGUUCAAAUUGUCGAAAUAGCCCGGCCACGAGAAAGCCUUGACAAGAAAUGCACAUUCCAAAAUUUAAUUUUGGAAGAUGAAGAGGUUAGGUCAUUAUUGUAUUUUACAUUAUCACUACUGCUGUUUUCCUCUUAACUUAAUUAAUCUCAACUUUCUAUAACUCUUAUUUUCAGGAAUGCCAAAUUAAGGUCGUUAUGUACAGUGACGAAAUCCAGCAGUAUGCAGCUACGCUUAAACUCCUCAAUACCUACCUCAUCUCUACUGCAAAAGUGAAAGUCUCACCAUCCUCAUACGGCAAGCCAAUACAUAAAUUUCAGUGGACUCUUGACAAGGAGACAGUAAUUGAACAAAUCCAAGCAUCUCAUGAAGUUGAAAAACCACUUCCACCGCCAACCAGGCUCAAUAUCACCAACUUUGACCGCAUUCCCCAUCUGAUGGUUGAUUCUGCUGCUGAAAUAGGUACAUCCAUCGUACUACCUGUUACCAGACUGAAAUAUACAUUUGUACUGCUGCAGAACACUUGCGAAAUUUCAUUAUGUACUAUAUACGCAGAUAUACUAGCAAUCGUUCUUCGUUGUGGUCCUCAAAAAACUGCAGGUCGCAGUCAUCAUAGGUGUAGAGAAAUUACCGUUUGUGACGAUCAGUAAGUAUGACAUUUCACAUUGUACUUACCCAUUCUCUGCAAAUAUUUUUCAUGACUAACGACAUUGUGCAUUUCUCUACUGACAUCAUCAAUUAUCAUAGUACUUACUCUUCUGUCCUUCUGUUCUGACACUCUCAGGAGAAAUCAGUUUCUCUUCACUCUAUGGGAGGACUUUGGAGAAAUAGAAGGACAUCAAAUUUUCUCUAAAAUGGCAACAGAGGCAGAUCUGCUUGUAAUCCUCGGAAGGAGUAUAGGAAUCUCUACUUAUCAAGGUACAUCUCUGUUCAACUUCUUACCAACAUAAUUUUAUAUCAUAAUAACAACACAAUAUACAACCUAUCUGUUAUACAGGGUUGUCACUGCAAACUAGGUACAAUUCCACAGUACGUGUAAAUCCUGAUUACCCACAGGCAAUGGCACUCAUCAACUGGUACUCACAUUUCACAUUUAUUCUACAGCUUUACUUUGCAUCUAAAUAACCUUCUAACCAUAUUAUUUGGUCUAACAAUAGGGCAAAAGAAAACAAAACAAUGUUGUUAGGUUCUCCAUCAGAGAAAACCUCGACAAGCUCAUCUAUCACUCCCAUGAUAGUCACUCCUGCUGGCCAACAAUUUAUCUCUAUUGCAGAAAUCUCAUCAGCACCUUCUGUAAGUCAUAACUCAACCUGCUCAAUUACCAGUAUCCAUAUUCAUUAUCUGCUUCUCUAGCUUUGCCUAAAUGAGGAAAACUUGCCACAGAUGGGAGUGUUCUAUGUUGAGGCAGAGAUGGCCAUAUUAGAUGAGUUCCAAGACUUUUGUGUGCUUGAAUGCUCAGGAUGCAAACAGAAGAAACGUACAAAGGAUAGAAAGGAUUUUGAAUGUCCAAAAUGCAAUCGAAAAACAUCAUUAGUACCUCGGUACUAUACUUUUCUGGCUUCUACAUUACACUUUCUACAAAAUAUACCGUAGAUUAUACACAUAUUUCUAACUUCCCUUCAUUUCAGUUGUACCUUCCAAAUUGAUCUUAUUGACAAUACUGCUACAACUACAGCAUCUAUCUCUGCUGAAUUAGGAGAAAAAUUACUGUCCAUGACAGCAAAAGACAUAUUUGACAUAACUUGCACUAAGGUUAUCUCUCAUUCCCACUACCAACUUGUACAUUUCAAUGCCUAAUCCAUCUCUUCUUUACUCUUUUCUGUUUCUCUACAGCCUUUACAUCUGUCUCUGAAAGUUUGCUGAAGAUUUCUGUUUCUACCCCUUUUUGGGUAUUGUUGAAUGCAUGUGCACUUUAAAGUCAAAUAUAUUCCUAUUCAAGAUUUUAACACAUAUUCAUAAGGGAAAAUAGGAGUAACAUUGCAAUCUUUAUUGUUUUUUCUGUAUUUUCUCUUUCUAUGGGUUGUCAUAGGAAAACAAGCUUCCUCUUGUUAUAUCCAUGGAUGUUCUCUUCGUGAUAGUAACAUUUGUUCUUUACUGUUGUGGGUUUCUCUACAGCCUUUAAAUCUGUCUCUGAAGCUUUGCUGCAAAUUUCUGCUUAUAUCCCUUUUUGGGUAUUCUGUAUACACUAUUUUGAUCACAGAACAAAUGCUCUACAACAUAGACUGAAAUUCUUGAAUGCAUCUGCACUUUAAAGUCAGAGAUAUGUCUAUUUCACAUAUUUCGGCAUACUCAUAACAGAAAAACUGAGUAAAGUUGCAAUCUUUAUUGUUUUGCUCUAUAUUUUCUUUUUAUGGGUUCUCAUAGGAAAUAGGCAUUUUUCUUCUUAUAUCCAUAGAUGUUCUGUUUACUCUACACUGUCUGUUCUAACUUCUUACAUUUACAGCGGCAAUCAUUGUCUCUUACUCAUGUCCAUGACAUGCUGUCAAACAAAGUAUUCGAAAUUCAGCUACGGAAGUCAUCUUGGGGCAGCUCAAAUACCACGAAUGCAACUUUGUCCAUUCUUUCCUACAUGGAAAAACAACAUACUCCACAAAGCACUUCUGAUAGGACUCCUAAAAAGAUAAAGCCUUUGGAAAUAAGUGAGGUAGAAGUCAUGGCAACAACUGCUACAGCUGGUCCUUCAAAUGCACUGGGAAAAAUUGAACCACCCACACCAACCAAAAAGGUGUAACAGGUCAGUCUACAUCUCACUUUCACACUACACUAUAGCUCAGAAUGAUUAUGAAUUCGACAUAUUUACAUUUACUGCAACAAUUGCUGCUAAAGGUCUCUUCUUUUAUCUGUAGUUUACUUUCUUUUAUACACCUAUCCACGUAAUUCCUGUAAAACAUUCUAAGUGUCCUACUUAUAUUAUACUGCUGCUUUGGCAAUUGCUCUAAUCUACUUUCAAAUUUCUCAAAAAAAAAUUUCCCCCUCUUCUCUUUCUAUUUGCUGCCUAUAUUAAAAUUGCUUUGCUAUCUAUUGCCAUAUUUGCACUUUCUAACAUACUUUAAAAUGUCUAAUUACAGGAACUCCCUCACACCAUUUUGUCGCUUUUGCUUAUGGUAGGGACAAUAUAAUGACUGACUCUCCCUACGCUCUGAUUUUUUGCAUCACCAGGAUUAGCUAUGGACAGACAAGCUGCAGUGUCCUCUAAAUAUCAUAGACAAUGGCAUGCUAAUCUUAUAUACCAAAACUGCAACAUGUAAUAUAUUAUUUUGGUUAUAUUACAUUAGUUAGUAUGUGCAAAGCGUUCAACUCCACAUCAUAAUUAUGUCUAUUGUACAUAUUUUAAAUAUUUCUAAUAGUACAUAAUAUAAUAGAUCAUAUUAUCACCUUGAUUCCUUAAUAUUACAACAUUUUUACCACCAUAAUAUUUUUACUAUUGGGCCCGUGCUUUGCACGGGCCUCCCUACCCUAGUAUAUAUAUAUACACACACACACACACACACAUCUUUGGGAGAAAAUGGGGGGCCCAAGCGACUGCUUUAGUGGCCUUAUAGUCGAGACGGCCCUGGCGCCACUACAGUCUACACUCAUAAAGUUGUCAUCUUCAUCAAAUUCAAAAAUUGAUUAAUCUUCUUCACCACUUUCAAUUUCCUCUUUUUUUUCACCCAUUACCUAGAACGACCAUACCCAUAAAGCUGCAAUUACAACAAAAUUCAAAAAUUGAUUAACAACCAAAAUUUCUUCAAUAAAGUUAAUUUUUUUUAGAAAAGAUAGAAACAAUCAACCAAAAUCACCUAAACAUAACUUAAGGAUUUAUUUAUUUAGGUUUAUGCGAAAUUCUUUUUAGAUUCUUCCUUUAGUCAAAAUUAUCAUAAAAUACAAUUAUUCACUAACAAAUCUAUGAGAAUUAACCUAAUUGCUAAAUUAAAAAGAAAAGUUGCGCUUUGAGAUUGUGAUGUAUAAAGAAUGAAGAAGAAAAGAUGUGAAAAAGAAGAAUAGGUGUGAAGGAGAAGAGGUUUGAAGAAGAGGUGCGGGUGUAGGGGUGGGGUGGAGGAGGGUGGGGUGGGUGGUUAAAAAUUGAUUCUAAUUAUUAUUUUUAUUUUUAUUUCUAACUGACGUGUUUAGUUUUUAUUUUUAUUUUAUUUCUUUGCCACAUCAGUUUUAAGGGGUAAAUAAAUUUACUUUUGAAUAAUAAAGGUGUGUAAUAUGUCAUCAUAAUAGUUUAAGCGUGUAAGUGACUUUUUGAUACAAGUUCAAGGUGGAGUUUAUGUCUUUUCUCUAAUUUUAAAGAACUUGUUUUAACUUUUUUUCCUUUCAAUGCUCGUACUGGAGCCGGAUUAAUUAACUUGAAAUCAAACUAUAAGAUUUCAUUUUUUGUAAAAAAGAUAAUUUUAUUUCUAAGAGUUCGUUUAGAUUGACUUAAAGGUUGGUCAACAUACUUUUAAGUCAGUUUUUGACUUAUGAAAGUAUUUGACAAAUGUAAAAUUAACUUAAAAUAAAUUAAAAAAUAACUCAAAAUAAGUUAGGAAGUAUUUGACAAGUGUAAAAAUAACUUAAAGUACGUUUAAAAUGACUUAAAAUAAGUUAAAAAUCAAAAGUAGGUCUUCCCUACUUUUUUAUUUUUUGAUUUAAAAGUUAUUUAAAUUUGACUUUUUAUUUUUGACUUAAAAACUAUUUCUUUUAAAGUCAAUCCAAACAGAUUCUAAGAUUCAAACUCAAAAUCUUUUAUUAAAAAUGAAUGCGCAAAACAACAUAUUCUCCUUACGAUGACUAAGUAACAUUUGAUAUGUUACACGUCAUUUUUAUUGAGAAAAUUGAACAAAUGACAUAUUUAAAUAUUCCUAUUACUAGUCUUAACAGGAUUCUUAAGUUUUCAAGUUUCAACUCGUAAAAUUUGAUUGACUAGUGAUAAUCAACCAAUUGAAGCAAAUACCUAUUAAAGUGAAGUAUAUUUUAUGUGUUUUACAGUGAUAACAUAUUGUACUUUAAAUAACUUUUCGCAUGGAUCAAUAAUUCCACUCUAAAUUAAUUAGUCUCUUCUAAAUGUUAUAAGUAUUAAAUUAGUUUUUAUUUUGUAAGUGGUAUCCUUUCAAUGGGUAAUGCUAAAUGGCCAGAAAUAUUUGGCCAGAAUUUGGCCAGAAAUGUAAAAAGACUAGAAUAUCCUUAUUUUAAUUUUUGCAUUUAUUUCCUCAAUACUUUUCCCUCCAAACAAAACUAACUUUUUUAUAUUUCCCAAACUCCUUGAACUACUAAAACACAAACUAUUUGGCUGCCAAUGAAAGUGAAAAAAUGUUUUUGUGUGCGUAUAGUUUAUCAGAUUUAUUUUUAAAAAUAAAUAUUGUUUAGUUAAUAAAAAAAUUGUACGCUUUAGUUAAAAAAAUAUUUUUGUAAUUUUGUUUUUAUACAUUAAUAUGUUUUUCAUUAUAUACCAAAUUAUGUUCAACAUAUACAUAACAUACAUUCUUUCCUCUACCCCUCCCCUGAACUCAAUUAUGAUAAUAAGGUGUCAACGCAUACCUUUGAAAAAUUAUUUUUUCGCUUAAUAUAAACUUCUUUAUUGAAAAGAGACAAUUAAAUUUCUCAUUAAUAAUAACUACAAAUGACUAUCUUAUCUACUUAAGAUUAUACUUAAUUAUUUUGUAAUAUAAAAUUAAUAAAAUAUAGUAAUUAAGCAUAGAUUAAAAGAGUUUAAUUAAUUUUUUCUUUAAAUAUAAUCAACUAAAUAGAUUAGUCUAUAUAAUGGAUGUUUUUCAAGAGAAAAAAUAAUAUCAUUUUGGAAAUUAGAUAUUUCUAAAAAAUAACUGAUGAAAAGACAUUUAUAACUAUGUCAUGAAUAACACAUUAGAUUUUUAUAUCAUAAUCAUUCCAAACAAGAUUUAAGAUAUAUAGAAAUUGGUGAAAUUAUUUUACUAAUUUUAACCAUGAAUACAAAAUACAGUUACUCCAAUAAUAUUAAUUAAUUGAGGACGUUUCAAAAUAAAUAAAUAAAAGAUCACUCAAUACUUACUUAUCAAUUAUAAUACUUUAAAAUAGAUGUAUUUUAUGUAUAUAAUAAAUUACAAUAUGUUUAAUGUGUAUAAAUAAAGUAUAACAUAACUAGGAUAUAUAUUUUUUAAAAAUUAUUUUCAUUUAAUGUAGAAUUUUAAUAUUUCAAUAACAAUAAUCAAAACUCAAAAUACUUAAGAAUUGAUAGACAUCGGCACAUUAUAGAAAUACAUAAAAUUUUUAUUAAUAUGUAGUUUAAUUUUUUAAAAUAUGUAGUCUAAUUUUUAAAUAUGUAGUUGUAAAUACGUAGUUUAAUUUUUUAAAACAUAAUAACCAAAUAUAAAAUUUAAAUAUGCAGUUUAAUUUUCAAAACAUAAUAAUUAACAAAUAUGCAAUAUUACAACAUUAAUGUGUAACUAUCUUGGGUUAUUGUUAAAUAGGAUCUACACUUAUGAACCAUAUGGUUUUUAGUAUUUCUUUAAUGUGUUGAUGUCUACCAAUUCUAAAGUAUUUUAAGUUUUGAUUGUUAUUAUUGAACUAUUUUACAUUAUAUAUAAAAAAUUAUUUAAAAUGUAAUUUAAAUANNNNNNNNNNNNNNNNNNNNNNNNNNNNNNNNNNNNNNNNNNNNNNNNNNNNNNNNNNNNNNNNNNNNNNNNNNNNNNNNNNNNNNNNNNNNNNNNNNNNNNNNNNNNNNNNNNNNNNNNNNNNNNNNNNNNNNNNNNNNNNNNNNNNNNNNNNNNNNNNNNNNNNNNNNNNNNNNNNNNNNNNNNNNNNNNNNNNNNNNNNNNNNNNNNNNNNNNNNNNNNNNNNNNNNNNNNNNNNNNNNNNNNNNNNNNNNNNNNNNNNNAUUCUGAGUAUAAUUGGAUAAAAUAUAUUUUAUCAUUAAUUUUUUUCUAGAAAAUCAAUGCGUAACAACAACUCCUUUAAAUAAAUAAGAGUAAUUGUUUAGCCAACUCGGUCAAUUUUAGAUUUUAUUUUUGAGUGUUGUUGAUAUAAAUUUUUAAUAUUUAAAUUUAGAUAUAAAUUAUCUUUUCACGAUUAGAAAUUAUAAAUUUAAAUAGAUAAUCUACACUUUACUCUCUUUUAUACUUUUCAAAAAUUUUCUUAUCAUUAAGAAAUAAGAAAUGGAAAAUAAAUAAACAAAAAAAAAGAAGUAAAACGGGGAAAAUUUUGAAAUUGAAAAAGAGAUAUAUUUUUUUAUUUUUUUACUACUACUGUAAUGUGUAUAUAUAUAUAUAUUAUUUUUAUUUUUUUAGAUCUUGAAAAUUUCAAGUGAGAAGAGUGGAUGAGAGUUAUGUUUUCUUUGGUGAAUUUUUUGGUUCCUUUCCCAUGUUUAACUAUGAAAUCAUCAAUAAUUAAUCUCAUUAAUCUUUUUCAAUGUAUUGGAAACAUAAUUGAAGAAUAUAUUUAAUAUUUAAGUUAAAUGGUAAAAAUGUCCAAAAAUAAACUAGUUUAUAGUGUGAACAUGUCUUUUUUCAUUCUGGCCAAAUUAUGGCCAAAUUUUUAUGGCCAAAAGGAUUUUUCCUCCUUUCAAUAGGGUUACUAAGAGUUUGAUAUCAUUUUAAAUUAAACCUUGAUCGAAAUCGUGCCCUACCUUUCACCUUUCAUUCAUUACGAGGAAAGACUAAAAAGAAGAAGAAAACUUUCGAUGGACACAUAACCCUUCAUGAAUUAACAUUUGAACAUAGGGAAAUUUGCCUCUUGAGACUGGGUUUUCUAAGCGAAAUUCCUCUUUGCCUUUGCCUUGUCUCGACAAAAGUACUUAUCAUUCUACCACAAUUCUGUGUGAUUGUUUAGUCUUUUAAUCUCCAUGAAGUUACUGUUUUAUUUAAAAUUAUAUAUACAAGGAAAAAUGACUUAGUUUUCAAAAAAUCGAUUAAACUUAUGAUUUAAGAGAAAUCGAAUUUCAAAAAGGACAGAGUCGCCACUUGAUUUUUUAAUAAAAAUCAAGAAAAAACCUAAGGUUUCCAAAAGAUUUAAACAGAUAAAAUCAAUUGAAAAAGGGUUCGAGUUCAAAUGUACAUUCCCGAGAAAGGUCUUAGGCCCUCGAAAUGCCCACUAACUUGCGGUUGACCGACGAUUUGACUAAUUAAUAUUUUAAUCUAAGUAAAGAAUUCAUUUUAUUUUAACUAAUUAUUGAAAUUUUAACUAAGUAAAAUAACUCAUUUUCUUUUAAAUAAUUUUGAAUUUUUGACUAAAUAAAAGGACUUAUUUUUUUUAUUUAUUUAUUACUAUUAUUAUUUUUAUCAUUUUAUUUAUCUCAAGGGGAAAUGGACUAAAGGAGAAUUUUUUAAAGGGGAAAUAACUUGAGUUUUGACAUGACUAAUAUUAAAAUAGAGCUAAAUAGUAAAUAAAAUACAUAAGAAAAAAAACAAAUAUUUAACUUUGAAUAUAAAGAGAGACGGCUGUCUUCGGGGAAUUAAUUAAGUUAAACCAAAGAUCAAAUAAAUGUGUUAGUUAAAUACAAUAAAACAAUAAGAGCAGGGAAAGGAAUAUCCAAAUUUGGGCCUCUGGCCACUUUUUGCACCACCUGUCCUGUACGCCUGCAUUUUUUGCACAUUCCAGCCUGCAAUUUCAAUUUAUCAACCUGUAUAUCAUUGUUCUUUUGGGCCUUUUCGAAAUCUGAAAUUCGAUUUCCAACCCCUUUUUAUUUUCGUUUCCUGUUGGCUGACUCAAUAGAAGAUAGAAUUGGGCCUCUAGGGCCCAAUCAACGAAAUGCAAGAUCAAAGAGUGGAGACUCGGGAAGAGCCGGUUCAUACAUGGAAAAGAAUGAAACGAGAUAAAGAUUAAUAAUAGAGCAUACUUUAAAUCUAUAUAAUGCAACCAAGACACAUAAAAAUAGAAAUAAGGCAAAAAUACAUGUGCUUAGUUUACUAUACCAUGGUUUUAUAAGAAUGACAAAGGAAUACACACCAUUCUUAAGUAAUCUUCACUUAGAUUUAAUCUAACCUCACAUGACAAGAUAACACUAAAUGAAUGUGAUAAAUAAAUAAAAUAAAUUUACAUAUAAAAAAGAGGGGAGGGGGACAGUGAUCACAUGGAAAAAAACGGCAUGCACAAUUGGGAUUAGGAUCAUUUAAACUUUGAUCAUAAAAUAGCAAAAUAACAUAUAGUUACCAAAUAUCUAAGGAUAAAUGGGAUCUUAAGGCUUAAUUACUAGAACUAGACUUUAACGAAACAAGCCGUAACAAAUUGAGUCGAGUUCUAUACUGUUGAAUCAUUAUUCUCAGUAAUUAAAAUUGAAGUGAAACAAAACCUCACAACAGUAAGCAUAUUUAAGCUAAUUAAUCUAGAAAUAAGCAUGAACAAGUGAUUGAAAAUAAAAUCAUGUCAAAACAACACUCACACUAAAUACAAAGGAUGAAUUUUAACUCUUUAAGUUUAAGAGAAGCAAGGGAUAAAUUAGGUGACAAAUAUGAAAAUUAUAUAAACCUAUGAAACCAUGGCUAUUUAACCACACAGCCUACCGAGGACGUCACAAGUAACAAGAAAGCUAGCAAAAGAUACCAGAUAUUUAGGAAGUCUAACGCUUAAUCAACAAGAAGAAAAAAGAAUCGGAAAACCGAAGAGAACAAACCAAUGGUUCUUUACAGAGGUUUAUCACCAAUCACACACUGAUUUCCACAUCCUAAUCACAUAAAGAGGCCAAAGCAAACAUAUAUAUUGAAAUUACACUUUUCUUGUAAAACCAGUGGUCAAAGAUGUGUAGCAACUAACAUAUAAACAAGCAAGGCACUAAGCUAAAGAUCGGGGCCAAACAAGAAAUAGCCUGAAAGCACAAGAGAAAAACACUUCAAACUAAGUAAUACUUGAAACGAGCGUAAACAACGACUACUUCACUAGGCGAUGAGAUUCUACAUAGCACGAAACAAAAUCUAGAACGCAAAGAGAAGCUGUAACAAAAGGAGAAAAAAACAAAAGCAUUACCUUCUUAGGAGCAGCGGAACUGAGACGACGAGUUGAAAAGCUUUCCACCACCACAAUCAAAGAGCUUUCGAGAAGCUUUUUGAUCGAACAAGAUAGGAACCGGAGUUCGAAUCAGUUAUCUUCUCUACUUUGAAGUGUGUUUCGUAUGUAUUUUUAUAUAUUUUCCUUUAAGCUAUUUCUCUGUAUCAGUGGAAGCCCCCCCCAAAAAAAACCCUCUAAAACAGUAAAAGAGAUGGAUAUUUAUAAGAGGAAAAAUUGGAAUUCAAAAGGGGGGAAACCGGAUUCCAUUUCGAAUUUCAAAUUCGAAUUACUCUCAAAGGAUAAGGUCGAAC
RNAcentral lists this long non-coding RNA (51580 nucleotides) under Solanum tuberosum (potato). RNAcentral describes it as "long non-coding RNA (STUB_LNC010311)". The record is from RNAcentral. Lineage: Eukaryota; Viridiplantae; Streptophyta; Magnoliopsida; Solanales; Solanaceae.